RNAcentral lists this long non-coding RNA (86329 nucleotides) under Triticum aestivum (bread wheat). RNAcentral's name for it is "long non-coding RNA (TAES_LNC022114)". The stretch from base 4735 to 4849 matches the Rfam family "MIR1120/MIR1122 microRNA precursor family". Lineage: Eukaryota; Viridiplantae; Streptophyta; Magnoliopsida; Poales; Poaceae. The record is from RNAcentral.
UGAAGGACUUGACCCAAGGUUUAUGCUACUCGGCACUGUGGAGUGAAGGAGUUCGGCCGCGGUUUAUGGGUGAAGGCUGUGUUAUUUGCCCCGUCAGUACUUUGUUGGUAGACGCUGGUUAAGUAGAUUUAAUUUUUACAGUACUGAGUUAUGUUAGAUGGAAAUCGAUUUUUGUCUUCUUGGCUUUGCAGGGGUUGGGAGUUAUCGCCCCAGCCUUCUGUUGCCUCUCAUCGAAUAGCUUUAUUUGAAGUUCCAUUUUGCCAGCAAGUGUAUGGUCAGAUUCUCUUGAAAUGUUAUAAAAGCCCGGAUCAUGUGAUACCGUAGAUAUGUCUUACAUUUUUUAUGAGGCUAUAUUGCUCAUAACUUGCAAGGCGUGGUGCCCAAGAAAUCAAUUCCUAUCAUCGUUGCAUUUCGAAGGCAGCACUAAAUUGGUCGGUGCGUCUCUGUGCCUGGCUUGGACACAAACAAGCUCUAAUUUUUAGUGUAUGUUCGCUGUGGGACAUACAAUUGUGAACGUGCUGGAACGUGCCGGCAGCACGAAUGCUUCCAACCCAUAAAUUUCUAAGAGAAACGCUGGUUUUGCCAUGCACCCCAGCGAAAUGGGUUGAAGAACAUCAGCCCUUCUAAUGUUUAUAGAGAAACAAAACAGAGUAAACACGUUACUAUGUUCUGAAGCUUGCAAAUGACUUAAGUUUGGCAAUCCAAAGAUCCCCAGCAAUAACCUUCGCCUCUCACUCUGCAAGCUUCUGAUUUCCGGUAGAUAUUAUUUCAUAUGUAUCCUAUAAUAUGAAUCAAAUAAGAUAUGGAUAAAAGAAAAACUACUUCUUCCAGAUCCUAAAUUAAUAAAAUAAAGAAGUGAAUUUUCAAAUUUUCAAAUUUUAAAUAAGGAGUGCUUCUGGAUCAUUGGUGCCCUCAAACACAACUGCCGAUGCGCCUAAAAACUACGUUGACAACACUUCUGUAACACCAUCCACGCCCAACUCCAACUUGCCCACCAAAGGAGGAAUUCACUACCGGACUUCUUGCAGGUCUUGACGUGUGAUCUUAGAGGUACUCGUAAAUAAAAAGGUGCAUCGAUAGCGAGCUCUGGAAUUCUUGUUCAUGAAUCCAGCGUCCAAAUUCUAAUCAAACAGAUUUAUCCUACAAUAAAGGAUUGGUUGUCCGUUGACAAUAAAGGAUUGGUUGUCCGUUGAGGUUUGGCCUUGCCUUCUAGUACAUCUCAGAGGAAAAUGUACGAGCAUCCCCUAGAUGAUUUCUGAGGGCCCAGGAUGAUUUGAGCUCAGUUCUGGCCUUCUAAAGCCCUGAGACAUAUUGGAACCUGAACAAAGUUAUACGGAAAUUUCGAAUGAGUUUUACAACCUCAUACACACUCAUCUGCUUCGUCCACCUUGCAACGUUCAACACGGGUGAAACAUGCCGCCACCGCCCUCCCAAUUCUACAUGCCAGUUUAUAACGGCAGCAGCUGAUAAGAAGCCGAGCACGGCACACCGUCAUGUCGCUCCACUCUUCGCUUGCUGCUCCUACCGGUUUGGACCACCCUAUCAUUUUCCCAUACAUCAUGUACUCCCUCAGUUUUAAAAUAUAAGUCUUUUAGAGAUUUUAAUAGGGACUACAUACAGACGCACAUAGACAUAUUUUAGAGUGUAGAUUCGCUCAUUUUGCUCUGUAUGUAGUCCGUAUUGAAAUCUCUAAAAAGUGUUAUAGUAUUUAGGAACAGAGGGAGUAGAUUUUUACCAUGCAAAAAAAGGGAGUAAAAUUUUAUAAUAAAUUAAUAAUUUUAUAUGAUUGUUUUCGUUGUUAGAUCAUCCUGUUUUAUUUUUUGAGAAUUAUCCUCCUGGGCAUUUUUUAGGGGUAUCCUCCUGGCCAAUUGAGCUGGCUUUUGUUUUUUGAGCAAUUCCGAAAUUGAGCUGCCUACGAUCCGUUCUGGGUCUCAACAAGCACGAGAGGGCGCAAAACCGGGCCGGGCCAUCAUCAGCCUGGGCCUGCAGUGGGCGCAAACCCGAGCCAGAGCCCGAUUAAGUAGAGGCAGCCGCGUGCCCGCAUCGGGUACUUCCUUAAUAACUUCUUCCCCUUUCCACCUGUCGGCGAACACCCACCACAAUCCCCACGCCCGAGGCUUCCUCCCGCGGCGAAACCCUAGCGACCGGAGCGCUCGGCGGCGGCAGCCAUGGCGGACGACGACUAUAAUGAAGUUGACAUGGGGUUCGUCUCUCUCUCUCUCUCUCUCUCUCUCUCUCUCUCUCUCUCUCUCUCUCGUGAUCACGGUAAUCCAGGCUAGGGUUUGGGUAGGCAGCGUCUUCGUUAGGACGAUCCUGUUCCCUUCGUUUCUUGAUAGCAUUCGGGUUGCAGAAACUUGGCCCUUGAUGAUUGAUUUUGCGCUCCGCACGGAAGUAAGUGGUGAGAAUCAGGCCCUGGGUAUGGUUGGUUGGGUUUCGAAAGCGCGUGGUGCUGAUUUUGAGUUCGCACUGAUUCUCACGGGUAAUAGGCUCGCGUGGUUGUCAUCUGACAGGGCAAUAUUUUGUCUUCAAGUUGGCCAACAUCGUGAAAUACAAGGUCCUCCGGUGGCCAGGGGACAUGACUUUAGGCUUUGGUCUCCAUCUGAUUUGGAAAUUGGGCCCCUGAAUUGCGGCUAUACAACUUUUCAAGGCGGCAAAUGUUUGAGUUAAAAGAUUAGUUGUUGAUGCUCCCAUCGAAGUUAGCAGGAGCUGUAAGGUCUUGCUUCUAAUUGGGAUGAAAAAUUUCAGCUCGGCCUUCCAUUUGUGAUUUGGUGGUGAAGAAUUAAUGCAUUAGUUGGUCAAGUACUCAAAGUCUGAUCUUUUCAGGAUGCCACUGUCAUCAAGUGACACUAUGUGUCUAAUUGCUUAAACAAAAAUAUAUGGUUGCUUAGAAUUACCAUUUAUAGAUAGGAAAAUAAUUUUAUGAGACCAGGUCUUAUAUAAAUCAGGGGGGGAGAGAUUAGAUGCUUUGUGAUUUGUGAAUGUCACGUGUCAUCCAUCAGGGUGGGUCUCACCCGAAUUAUAUGAGACCUGGUCUCAUAUAAUUUGUCUCAUAUAAUUUUUUUCCGCACUUACUUUGGGGUCAAUAUUGAUCCUUCUAUUUCUCUUCUCAUGCCAUUGUACCUAUCAGAGUUUAUUUCAUUGAUUGAAUUUUGAGUUACAAUUCCUCAUUUCUUAUGCAGGUACGAGGAUGAGCCUCCAGAGGCUGAUAUUGAGGUGCAGAUCCGUCACUAUUUUCCUAUACUGAUGGUAUCCUUAAGAGGAAGAUCUUGCAGCUUCAUUUAAGUAUAACUGAUGUAUUACUGUUGAAUAGGAAGGGGUUGAAGAAGAUCCUGAGAACAACGAGGAUGCCCCUGAUGACGUGGUAGGGGGUGAAGGUGAAGAAAAGGAACAGGAAAAGACUGCCCGUCCACGCAAUACAACAAAAUAUAUGACCAAGUAUGAGCGGGCACGCAUCCUUGGCACACGUGCUUUGCAGAUAAGGUAUACUUAUAUCUGAGUACACAUUCCUGUUAAUGAGUUCAUUUAAUGAAGUAAUUGACCCAUUGAUUUUUGUAGCAUGAAUGCCCCAGUUAUGGUUGAGCUUGAGGGUGAAACUGAUCCUCUUGAGGUAAAGUCGUAUAAUUUGUUGCUUACAUAUGCUUUUAAUGCUGGCUUCCAGUUAGAUGAUAGCCUUGGCUGUUUGCUUUCAUUCUUUAGUUCCACUUGUUUUGUUGUAUGUUUAGAUGGAAAUUUGCUUUUAAAGUAGAGAUUGAUUGCCUUGAUACUGUGGAAUUAGUCUGUGUACCAGGUAUAAGAACGGCCAUGCUUAUUUAUGAAUCUACUUUAUAUGGAGCUAUAUAAACUUAUGAAUAGGCUUUGCAAUGAGAAGAUUGACAUUCUGAUGUGGUGAUCUAGGAAUCUACUUCCUCUGUCCGGAAAUAAGUGUUGCUCAAACGGAUGUAUCUAUAUGUAUUUCAGUGCUAGAUACAUCCGUUUGAGCAACACUUGUUUCUGGACGGAGGGAGUACUUUAUAUUGAACUACUCCAUGCUAACUAAUGAAUAUCCAACAUUGUUGGAAAUAUUUAUAUGUUUAUGAAUUUGAUAACGUAGAUAUGUUUGAUAGUUAAAUAAUUGGUAGUGUAUAGUCUCUUAGGAUCACGGGGUCGGCAAUCCAACUAGUUACUGAUGUGUUUUCAUUGUUCUACUGAAUUAUUGGGAUUCUUGCUUUGUAAUAUUGCAUCUAAUUAGGCACUUGUUAGUUUGAAGUUUCAAUAUGCCAGUACAAGGAAAUGUUCUUAUGUGCAAUUAUGGAAAUUUUCUUGCUGUAUUAGUCUACCUUGUAAGUAUGUGUUUUCCUUAUAAAGCAUAGAGCUAGAUAUAACAGAAGUUAAUAAGCGUUUCUAUUUGUCUACUGAAUCUAGUUUAGUCAUUGUACCUAUGUACAUGUAGCUACUAGAUAGUUAGGAUUCUUAUUUACUCCAGUUGUAUGAACAGGGAUUGUAAGUAGUAAACCACUAACUCACACCAUUUUAUACCAAAAGGAUGCCCUUGUUAGGCCUUGUACAAUGAGAGAUGCUUAGGGAGGUGCUUAGAAAAAUAAACCGAGUUUUUCUGAAGCACCGGUGCCUAUUUCUACAGGAGAGACGCUUAGUUAAGCGUCUAUCCUGUACAAAUAAGCACCGAUGCUUAAGGAGAGCCUGGUUUAUUUCUCUAAGCACCUCCCCUAAGCACCUUGCAUUGUACAGGGCCUUAAUCACCUACUCCCUCCGUUCGGAAUUACUUGUCGCAGAAAUGGAUGUAUCUAGACGUAUUUUAGUUCUAGAUACAUCCAUUUCCGAGACAAGUAAUUCCGAACGGAGGGAGUAUAUGGUUCUACCCCUUUCUCUGAAACCACAUUCUACAAUAUAUGUUCUGUUUUGUCAAAACAAAAAGAAUCUGAAUAGUUUUAGGUAAGAGCAGAAAAACCAUGAAAUGGUCGAUAUUUUGAGAAGUAAUAAUGCUCUUGCAAUGGGUAAAUGAAAUGAAAUUCGGCCUUGUUUGUCAAUUGUCCAUUACAAACACUACUUGGAUGGUUUUUGCUCCCAUUUACUGUAGAACAUAGUAUUACCAUCGCUUGACUCAUUUCUAGUUAUUGAAUUGCCUGCUCCGCUGAUCUUUGUGCAUCUUCAGAUUGCCAUGAAAGAACUGAGAGCACGUAAGAUCCCCUUCACGAUUAGGCGCUACUUACCUGAUGGAAGGUGAGAUUUAAAGGAAAAGCCAAUCAUCACCUCUCUUUGCUGGCUAUUAUGUGCUAUAGCCUCAUUUUUUACUUUGUUUUGAAAUAGCUACGAGGACUGGGGAGUUGACGAGCUCAUUGUGGAGGACUCGUGGAAGCGUCAGGUUGGCGGGGACUAGAGCUGGUAGACUGUUCGAAUGGGAGGCUCCGUGCUGCAACUAAACUUUGCCCUAGUAGCUAUAUGCAAUCUUUGGCACUGAACUGCCGCGACAAUGUUAUGUUACCGUAACAUGUGUGGGCUAUGUCUGCCCAUUGUGUUGUGCUACUACUGUAAACCAAUUGCGUGGUUGCGUUAGUUUGCUUGGACCAUUGCUUGCAUGCAGCUACAAGUUGCGAAUGAAUACCCUACUCUAACCUCCUUUUGUGAGCGUGGUGCAGGACGUUCUGCUGAUUAUUCAGUGUUCGCAUUUCUAUCUCAGUGUAGCCUUAGAGAUUGUUUUGUAGUAGUAAUGGAUCAAUUGUUUACUAGUAGAUGACUUGAAUAGAUCAACCAGAGUGCUAGGGUUGGAUCUGUGAGAAGUUUUUGGGAACAGAUAAAUACAAGCGCCCGUUCAAACCUUAUACGAACUCAAAAGAAAUAACCUCAUACGAUCCUUUGGAUAAAAUCCAACUUAUGCUGGGUGUUUGGAUAAAAUCCUUCUCUCAGCAAAACAAUGCAAAGUUUGUUCUCAGGGCUGCACAAAUCAUCAAAUCCAAUUUUCCAUUUUACAGAUCCUUAGCUAGUUACUACCAGCAUCUCGAAUGACCAAUGCGGGCGCUGGCACAUGCAGUGUGUCCUUCACAGCAUGCAGUAUGUAAUGCGACUGCCGCUGCGCGUCGCUCAUCAGAGCAGCGACCUGAACCGGUCGCCCUCGGUCUGGACGCGGUCACGGGUGAUCUCGGCAACGCUCCGGCAGCCGCAGAGCGCCAUGGCCAGCUCCAGCUCCCUGUUGAGCAUCUCGAUCACGUGCUUCGCCCCCGCCUGGCCCCUCGCUGCCAGCCCGUACAGCACCGGCCUCCCCACCAUGACUGCCCGCGCACCCAGCGCCAGCGCCUUGAGCAGGUCGGUCCCCCGCCGGACUCCGCCGUCCACCAGCACCGGGACCGCCCCCACCACCGCCUUCACUACCUACACACACACACACACACAAUACACCGCCUUCAGAAUGUGCUUUGUGAUGCUGCACUGCACACACACACCCUUUGAACAAAAUGGAAGACGACGGGCAUGGUGCGGUGUACCUCUUCGAGGGCGGAUAUGGUGGCCGGCGCGUAGUCGAGCUGCCGAGCGCCGUGGUUGGACACGAUGAUGCCUGCUGCCCCGGCCUCCACUGCUUUCCUGGCUGUUUGCCCCCCCCCCCUGGUUGUUCAGCAUUUCAUGUAGUAUAAAAGAUAAAAGAUGAUCAACAAAUUUAUCCUCUGAAUGACUGUGAAGAUCCCGAACAGCGUUUACCGACUUACCGUCCUCGGCGGUCACGAUGCCCUUCAGUAGAAUGGGCAGGCUGGUUAUGGAUUUCAGCCACUCCACGUCCUACACACAGGGUUACCGGAGAGAGAAUGUCAGAAUUCACGUUCCAACUUCCAUUAUGCCCCUGAAGGAUUGGCUCCUUGUUUUCGGACAUCAGUGCAGCAGCAGCAGCCAAGUACUGGAGCAAUUCAAGGUUACUGUCUCCCUGUAUAUGUAAGGCACGUUCUCUACUGAGAGGCAACCCUGUUCUUGCUAGAGGGCUUUGAAUGUAUAGCGUGCCUCAAGAUGGGUCGUGCAGAGUGGCAGAAUUGUCCUUGAAAUUACUGUUGAAUAUACUUAUGGAGUACUGGCCCACAUGCUGUAGGAUCUAAAGCUUUAAAUUGGAGUACUGGCCCAUAUGGGUGCCAAUUUUGCUGUACCUUCCAUGAUAAAGACGGGUCCAGAGUGUCGCGCGCAUACUUCUCAAGCUUCGACCCGCCUGUCUGCAGAUGAGAAAUACGAGCCUUUCAAAAAGAAAAAAAAUGAAUUCAUGUAGUAUCCAUCAUAAACUAUUUUGUUCAUCUGUCCAGUACGGACAAAUUAUCCUCGAGUAAACAUGCUCAAGGUAAGAUAUUCCAUCAAGCAGGCAUUGACUCACAGUAUCAAGAUCAUCUAUUGGCAUCAAACCUUCGAGGUUUGCAUUCGCAGGAGCAACCAUUCUGCAUGAACAAUAAGAUCAGCAAACCAAACAUAAGAAUUCUGUGCCAUGGUGUCUGUUUACAACAUUCAAAGGCCAUAUAAAUAUCUUUUAGGUACGAUUUCAGGCAUGAGACAUUUGUAGGCUUAUCAAAUUUUAACCGCAGCGAAUCGAGUUAUAUCAUAUUAUUAAGUUGGUAUUCUCGAACAAAGAAUAUUAUUAAGAUGGUACAAACAUAAUGACAAUAACAUUCAGAUUGAUCAGGUAUACUCCCUCCUUCCAUCUAUAUAGGGCCUAAUGCGGCUUUCAAGACCGCCUUUGACUAUUGAUAAGAUUAAUAAUACAUGAGAUGUAUAAUGUGAAAAUUAUAUUAUUAGAAGCUCCUUUCACGUAUGAAUUUGACGGUAUGCUUUGUGUAACUUGCAUGUCAUAUAUUAUUGCUCUAACACUUGGUCAAAGUUAGCCUCGAAAAACGCAUUAGGCCCUAUAGAUGGAAGGAGAGAGUACAUUGAGCUAAUAAAAGUAUAUGCGAACAUUAAAGUCCUAACACAUAAACUCUAUCUUUCACCCGCCAAAAAAAAUUCUAUCUUUAAAUAGAAGCAUAUUGUCUUGUCUCGUAGUUGCCACAAAAAAUAGGUUAGUAUAUGUAGAAGGAAAAAUAACAUAAUGUUGUACAAAAUAUUUAAAAGAACUUUGAAGAUAAAAUUGUACUUAUUUCUGAUAUCUGCUUCACGUCGACCGAGCAUAGGAGUGUCAACUGUUAAAACAAUUGCUUUGAAUCCAUGACUCUCAGCCCGCCGCACCAAUGUUGCUGAAACAUCCCUGUUUUUAAAAACCUAAAAUGUUUUUAAAUAAAACAAAAUCAGAGAUCACAUUAUCAGGAAAGGAAUUAUAUCGAGCUUGAAGUCUAGAUGUCAUACAUAUAACUGAUAAAAACGAAUCGCAUUACAACUGGAGGCAACUUCCUCGAUUUUGCAACUGGCUGAGAAGGAUAGCACCUGUACUUGACAAAUAUGAACAUGUAUAGCAAUUGACGGAUGAAACACGACUGAAAGAUCAUUAAUUGUCAGUUGACACCAACCAUUAAGGUAUUACAUGAUGCUGCAGCUCUUGCUGUAGCCACCUCCCCUGAAAUUAGCAUUGAAACAAGAGAUGUAGAGAUAUUACAGAGUUUAGAUGUCAUAUUUUGACAUUCUAAAGUAAGCUUUGAACUAUGAGACCUUCUGGAUUUGCCAAUUUGUGUGAUCCUGUUGGUGCAACAAUUAUGGGCGAGGGCAUGUCAUAUCCCAAUAAGUUUAUCGACAUGUCUAUGUUGCUGACAUCUACAAGAACCCGAGGUCGCAACCUGCAGAAUACACAUCGAGAAAAUCUUCAAGUCCAAACUCUCCAGGUCAAUGAAGAUUUUACCUAGAAGAGGCAGUAUAGGAACAGUACAAAAUUCUUCCAUAUGCUGCAAUGUUGUCCCUCAAUGUGUGUUCAUCCUCUGCUCCUCCAUUGAUAUAAUCAUAGUGCAUCUUUGGCAGUGCUUUCUUGGCGAGUUCUUGAUACUCGCGAAUAUUGACUGGUAGAUUAUUCUCCAUUUCUGCUACAUAUAAUGUUUAGAGGUCAUUCACCUGAUGCAAAUAUCUGAAUUUUAACCAUACAUCGGCUCAGAUCUUUCUUUACAUAUGACCAACUGUCCAACUAGAUGCAUACUAUUUUUCAGUACUUUAGUACCAAACCAGUACAUCUUUUACACAUAUACAGAGCUUUAAAUUGAAGUCUCUAUAUAUGUCCGAAAGAACUAUAAAUACAUAGUGGCCACCUUUCAGAGCUGCCCUUCUCUUUUUUAGUAGACAACCUAUCACUUGGGUUCCCCUGAUCUUUGAGCCAAUUUGUUUUUUCUCGAACACGCGUCUUUUAUUAGAAGAACGCCAAGAUUGGUGCAAAGUUUACAUGCGUAAACCAGCAAAACCAGAAAGAACUGAAAAAACCAACAUAAGCCUAAAGGGUAUGAAAGAAGAAAGCCAAAACCCUACUGCUACCACUGACUAUUGUAGGAAUGGAGGCCUAGCAUGCAUAGGCAAGCUCCUUAAGGCCACGGCCCCUGCCAUAUUCCAUUGGUUGACCUUGGGCAGAAUUAUUUUUAGCAUUCUUUUUCUUGUUUCGAUUCCUAUUAACUCGUCAAAUCCAAAAGGGUAUGAUUGCUGAUGGAGGUUGAAUUUAUAAGAAAUUUACAGUUUUUUCUUUUAAGAUUAUGCCAUGAAGCAUAGAAGAAUAUCAGCCUAUUGCAUUUGAAAAAAGAUACCCAGGCGAGUGAGGCCAAAAUACUAGUGAUAAGAUGAUGCAGCAGUAUUAAUAAAACAUGUUUGUAAACUAAAAUAUCUGAAUCACGCUGCAAAUACCAUUUGUGGAGUAAAGUGCCGUCAGACGAACAUUUGCAGUGCCAAACUUGAUUUAUUCAAUUUGGUACAAAAGCUUACUGACAAUCUAAUCAUAGCUUCUCUAAAGAAGAUAAUCUGAUCACAACAGACUCAGCCAAGAUGGUUAAAAUUCUAAUCCUGCAGAUUUUAUAGAAAGGUACAUAUACAGAAGCAAUGCAACAGGGGUACAGCUCCGAAGAAACUCGCGGCACAAAAUUUGACUUAAUAUCCAUUCAGGUGUAGAAACUUGCCAAUAAUUGAGCACUACAACUUGUCAACAAUUUCUAUAAUCUAGUUUCACUGUUUUGAAGUUAGGAGUUACAUAGAGAAGUUUUUACUGCAAGAAUGCGUAUCAUAACUGAUUUUUGUUCAGUCUCCUCGAAACAGGCUUUCGCCCAGCUUUUAUAUAUAAAGCCUAAACGGCCGAACCGAUACGAAGUGGUCAGGAUUUUUGUACGGUCUCAGGGUAGAUGCAAAUUGAUGGGGGCAAAACAGUGAGUUCCUACUGUUGGUCACUGACAACAUGGGGGAAAUAGAAGAGUAAAAGGCAGAUUGAAAUGGCUUCAGAUCAAACUAUUCAAGUACAAUGUCCAUUGACAGUGUGACUGCACACCUGAUGUGACUCCUCUACCACGUCUCCAAAAAUGGAUAGGCUGAGCUACGGCUUAGCACCAAUUCAUACGAACAUUCAACACUUGAAACCACAGAACACAUUCAAAAGUUCACUACCCACUACCCAGACGCACAAAACACAGAGCCACAUUCAAAUCAAGGCUGGGCUAAUCGACAUGAUUAAGGAGGAUACGUCUUCGGAAGUACAAAGCGUUUGUUCAUGAUCGGAGGAGCAAACCUCAAACAGUCCGCUCUGCUCGCCCGCGGCAACCAGUGAGAAACCUUGUGAGGCCCAAGGUCGAACACUUGACCUGCUGCUUACUGGAACAUCAUAGGAAGGAGGUGUCCUAUACUGAGCUUAAAGAUAAGACCCUGGGACUGGGUCUGGCGACAAAUUGAGAAGAAAACAGCGGGAGGACAUACAAUCGGCACUGAAUCUCCGACGCAACUUCAAUCAUUUCACUGCACCUCACAGUCGGGGAUCAUUCAAGAUCCACAGGAACACGGCGGUCUCAUCUGCCAGGCCCCCCACGGGGUCUCGCAGAGCAGCCGAUCAGCCGGAGAUCGACAGCAAAUCGAGCGAGAGCGGGGCCGUACGAGACAGCGAAUUGAAGGAGGGGAUCGUGCGUGGAGAUGUACGAGAGCAAGCACCAUACCUGUAGUAGAGAUUGACGACUCUAGGGGGGGAUGGGCAGCUAUCGGAGAUGUCGGGGAGGAUGAAAUCGCGAAGGGGGAGUGAUUGCUAUGCUAGCUGCUGGCUGGGAACGGAAGGAUAGUGGGUGAUCGAGUGAGUGUGAUGAUGUCAGAAGACAGGCAAGGACAAGGAGAGGAUGAUGUUGGCUCACUUGGCUCUACACUGAUGAGAACGAAAAUUGCAGUCACGAUCUUGCAAAUUUCAUCUCAUCAGUGUCAACUUCAAGUAACUCUGCACAUCCAUUCGCAAAAAGAAAAAGAAAAAAAAAACUCUGCACAUUCGGUUUAUUUGUUUUGGUAAAUACAGUUCCUCGGUUUGUCAAUGCUGAUACUUCUAUAAAAUACAGCUCGAUUUUCAUAUAUAGAGUUUUUUUUUUGCGAAAUAAUAUAGAGCUGACGUCCUCACAGGGAAGCAACUUGAGCGAGCUAGAAAAGGGUAGAUUGAGUUAACCUACAUUUGGUUACCUGCAUACAAUCCAAUUAGGCCUCAGCAGUAAGAAAAAAAGCUUGUUUAGUUGCAUACUGGGAGGCAUGAUUCGCAUCGGUACCAAACUUAAAACAACUCAGAGGCUGACUCACUGGAAACACUAACCGGCCAUUUCCAGCGAGCCAGUCUGAGUCGGGUGCAAAAGUAGGACGACAUACGCCGCGGUGCAGGGGGGAUUGGGUGAAGAUGUCGGGAGAAAAAAGUCGGCGGAGGCGAGAUGGCGUGAAAUCUAACCUCACCCCAUUUACUCGCUCACCCCUAGCUCUAGGACAAGCCCUUCCUCUGUUCUUAGCAUCGGCGGCGGCAGUGACUCAGAUCUGCGCAAGCGGCAGCGACAUGAGCACUCUCUGGCAGCACUGGCAGUGGCGGUGACUCAGAUCUGCGCAAGCGGCAGCGGCAUCAGCACUCUCUGGCAGCACCACCGACAACGGCGGUGACUCAAAUUUGCGCAAGCGACAGCGACAUUAGCACCCUCUGGCAGCANNNNNNNNNNNNNNNNNNNNNNNNNNNNNNNNNNNNNNNNNNNNNNNNNNNNNNNNNNNNNNNNNNNNNNNNNNNNNNNNNNNNNNNNNNNNNNNNNNNNNNNNNNNNNNNNNNNNNNNNNNNNNNNNNNNNNNNNNNNNNNNNNNNNNNNNNNNNNNNNNNNNNNNNNNNNNNNNNNNNNNNNNNNNNNNNNNNNNNNNNNNNNNNNNNNNNNNNNNNNNNNNNNNNNNNNNNNNNNNNNNNNNNNNNNNNNNNNNNNNNNNNNNNNNNNNNNNNNNNNNNNNNNNNNNNNNNNNNNNNNNNNNNNNNNNNNNNNNNNNNNNNNNNNNNNNNNNNNNNNNNNNNNNNNNNNNNNNNNNNNNNNNNNNNNNNNNNNNNNNCCCCCGCCCGCUUCGUCGGCUCCGAAGCUAGUAAGCAGCAUACAAACCCCCCCUCAUCUGUUAGGGCGAUUGUUAGGACGGUGUAGGAUCAAUUGUGCCAUUGCUGACCACACCAUGGAUGUUGCCUAGGUUGUUGCCGAACGGAUGAAGCUGACAGUUCAGGCUGUCACUACUGCAGGAUGCUGCUAACGCGACACUACAAUAAGAGACCCUUCGACGAAACUGUGUGCACUGCAUUAAUCGCAAAUGGCGAUGUAAAAUAACCGUAAAAAAAUACACAAAACGUUUGCGAUGACGGAGACAUCAAACACGAUUCAGAUUAUAGUUGCGUGUGCGAUGCGUGGCAUACCGUUCACUCCAAGGAACUGUUUAUGAUGAGGAUAACAACAGAAACGGUUAGACAGAUGAAAGGUGUGCGAUAUACAACAUACAGUUCACUCUGAUGAACUGUUUGUGAUUAAGCAACACAACAGAAACGGUCAGCCAGAUCAAGGUGUGUGUGCGAUUGACGGCAUACAGUUCACUUGGAUGAACUAUUUGCGAUUAAGAAACACAACAAAAACAGUCAACUAGAUCAAGGUGUCUGCGAUUAACAACAUACACUUCACACUGAUGAAUUAUUUGCGUUUAGGCACAACAAACAGAAAUGGUUAGACAGAUUAAGGUGUGUGCGCUAGAUGGGCACACAUUCUAAUUAAGAGAAGCAUGCACGAUGGUAAUAACAAGCGCGCACGGUUGAUGGAACAAGUCAUGUGCUGACAUCCCCUAUUGCCGUGCACCCUAUGGUGCAAACGCCAUGUACGCAUCCGAGAACACAUGCCCACGUUACGCCAUCGGGGAAUCGUGCCGCACUUCGAAACUAGAAACGUCAAUAAAUUUUGAGCUUGCAUCCCGUCACAUUCCAAAUUACUAUCACGCUAUAUUUAAUUGCAAAUCUCUUCACACCGAUAAAAAGCUAAAUGGUUUCCUAUUUAGGAGCGUAUUAGUACUUUGUUAUAAAUACUACCUACUCCAAGAUGACUGCACAUUCCUCCUCAAUUCCUCAUCCACAAAAAAAGUAUUUCAUCGUCGUUCCCUUGCGUCUGCCAUGGCUCGCAUGAGUUCUGGGUCGAGAAAUUACUACCAGGGAGAGGCGAGCAUGGAAGCGGAAGUACGAGAGAUGUCCCGCCUCGUCACGAAAGCAGCCGACAUGUCCCGCCGCACCGCUGUAGUAGCACAGAGGUCCAGCCGCGCCGCCGAAGUAGCACAGAGGUCCCACCGUGUCAUCGAAGCAGCAUACUGGUCCGACCGUGCCGCGGAAGCAACAAAGAUGUCCUGCCGCGCCGCGGAUGCAACAGAGAGGUCCUCCCACGCCGCGGCGGCCUGGGAAAAUGUCUCGCAGGCAGGCAAGGACUCUCAUAGGCGCAUGCACGGUAUGCUCGAUAACCGGAUGGAUCGGAUCUUCGACUGGAUGAAGCUGUAGGACGAGAUGAAUGCCUCGUUUGAAAAUGCUACUGGCGUUAUCCGGGGACUAAGGGAGGACAAGGCGAAGCUCCGUACCCAGGACGACCUAUGAGGGCGAAGAUCGCCGGAAGGGCGAAGCAACAUGAGGAGACUACUGCCAUGUUGGAGGGUACAUGCGCACCGUCAAGAAACUUAUGGACAAGAAUGCCAUGCUCUGCAUCGAGCGCAAAAGGCUAGUGGAGAAAUCCGUGGAUGCUGCCAAGCAGCGUAUUGAGGACAUGAAAGAGAUCAUCGCCGCUCGCCGCGAGAACUAGUCUCCACGCCCUACAACAACGCAUCGAGAAAGUAGAGAUCAGCGAGCCAGAUUGUUGUCUGCGUCUUUCUUCUUCUUUUGCCUUUGUGUAUUUCGGGCGUUACCGCAUGUGUAAUUUUUAAUCAUCUUCCUAAAUAUGUAAGACAAAUAGUAUCCACUGUUAUCGUCAUUAUAUUCAUAUUAGUCUUGCUAUAAGUCUCAGUUGAUGCUAUAUAUGUCCGUCAGAUCUUACAUCAAGAUCCGUGCAAUUUAUUUUCAGGUUUUCUUUUUUCUCUCUUAAAUAUCAGUUGAGUGAGACAUAGUCACACCAAAAAACAGGGGCUCAGACGCCAUUAAUGGAGAAGUUGGGCGGCGGAUGGAGGUCAAAGGGCUCACCUCCCGAUAAACAUGUGCAGGGGUCUGAUCGCACGCCUCCUGUACUCAAAUAGCUAUCCGCACGACGCCUUCUAGCCAAUAAAAAAAGGGGACGCGUGGAGGCACAUAAAUGGUUAGUAGAACACCCACGAUUUCAAUAAUACUUGUGUUUCUGAUUGUAACAUGACAACACUUGUUCCAAAAUGACUUUGUUGGUUGUUAAUGUGCGCGCCUUCGCAAAUCGGACAAAAAUUUACCACAACAUGUUGGUACCAUCUGAAGACAACAUGCCGAGUUUCAUGAUUUUCCGGUGAGUUUUGGAUUUACAGUAAUUUAAAAACCAAGUUUCUCUAUGUUUCUGGCUGAGCACGACGCUCAGAUAUUUGGAAUUCAUUCUCAUUUCUUGCAUGUGAUCUAAACAUUCACCCAAGGACACAUAUAUGAUUUUUCAACACAUCUUGGCGCACUGAAGCAUGUGCAUGUAGCUCAAAUUUGAAUUAUGCACAUUAAAUCCCUAGAAAACUCAAAUAAUGUAUAAAAAAGGCAAAACAAACCCUGAUAAUUCCAAAAUUUAGCACCAAACUCAUGUUGGUCUAUGUUGCCUUUGUAAAAAAAACAAGGCGGGAAGAGGGGUGGUCUAUGUUGUUUCGCACACAUAGGUGACACGUCCCCUCUCGGAACCAUGAGGCUUCUCCAGAGAAGCUCCGUUUUGUAAGAAGAUUACACCAAAACUUGUCCCAAAUCGGGCGCAAUUUUUACCAAAACAUGUUGGUGCCAUGUCAUGAUACCAUGCCAAGUUUCAUGAUUUUCGGGCGAGUUUUAUUUACAGGAAUUUAAAAACCAAGUUUCUCAAUAUUUUCGGCCGACCCACGACACCCAAAUGUCUGAAAUUCAUUCCUAUUUCUUGCAUGCGACCUAAACUUUCACUCAAGGACACACAUAUAAUUUUUCAACCAACUUUGGUGCACUGGAGCAUGUGCAUAUAGUUCAAAUUUGAAUUAUGCACAUUAAAUGCCUAUAAAACUUAGUUAAUGUAUAAGAAGGCCAGACAAACCCGGAUUAAUUCCUAAAAUCAGCAUGAUACUCCUAUUGGUCUAUGUUGCCCCAGGCGGGAAGAGGCGGUCUAUGUCGUUUCACACACAGAGAUGACACAUCCCAUCUCGGAACCAUGAGGCUUCUUGAGAGAAGCUCCAUCUUGUAAGAAGCUUACACAAAAACUUGUCCCAAAUUGGACAAUUUUUUUACCAUAACAUGUUGGUGCCAUGUCAUGAGACCAUGCCAAGUUUCAUCAUUUUUGGGCGAGUUUUAGAUUUACAGGAAUUUAAAAACCAAGUUUCUUAAUGUUUCCGGACAAGCCACAACGCCCAAAUGUUUUAAAUUCAUUCCCAUUUCUUGCAUGGGACCUAAACUUUCACUCACUACAAAAAAUACACUUCCGUGAUGAUAUCUGUUUGUCACAGUAGGUCAUGUUUUCUGUCAUGCAUGUACAUCCAUGACGAUUCUAUGACAGAAUCAAGAUAGUCAUACCUGUGCUGUCGUAGAAGUGUUUCAUAUCAAAAUUAUCAUCACGGAAGUGUCCACUUCCAUGACGAUAAAUCAUGCGUCAUAGAAUUGCUUUCAUCAAGGGUAACCGACAUGUGGCAUCCACCGCAAUGGGUCGCUGUUAAGCUAUCGGGUUACGGUUUGGAUCCGAUGACCCAUUAACAACCCGGACCAAUGGGGAUUUUCCACAUAUAAAAUUUUCAAUGGCCAAAGGAACCAUGUGUCGGCUCAACGUUGGGACAGAUUUCAUCCACUCAUUGGACCGAAGGCGCCUAUGAUACGUCGACACGUGGCACGACCCAACAGAGGCCCAUUCCUGUGAAAAGGACGACCCGUUUGACUUGGUCAAAAGGUAGCGGGCCGGCCCACAGAAAGCCUAUUAACGGUCUAUUCGCAUAUAGCCCAUUUAUAGCCCGCUAACUCAUGGCCCGUUACGGCCUAUCCGAAUUAGGCCCAGUAGCGUCAUCUGGGCUAUCCAAUAUGAUUCCAGCCCGUUGUAACUUUCGGCCCAUGUAUGGCCCAUGACAUCUUUCGUCCCAUAUGAGGCCCUUUGUAACUCUUGGCCCAUAUGAGGCCCUUUUUAACUCUUGGCCCAUUAACAACCUAUGGUGAAACUGGCCCAUAAUGAAUAGUGUAUCACUUUAUACCCAAUAACGACCCAUUAUUCUAUUGGGCCGUUUUCAGCCCGUGUUAUCUUUCGGCCUUCUCAGGGCCCAUUUAUUCUUGGGCUUAUUUCCAACAUUCGAUUACUUAUUGUGACGCCCCCGAUUCAAUCAUACACUAAUCAUAUACGCAAACGUGUACGAUCAAGAUCAGGGACUCACGGGAAGAUAUCACAACACAACUUUAAAAAUAAAAUAAGUCAUACAAGCAUCAUAUUACAAGCCAUGGGCCUCGAGGGCUCGAAUACAAGUGCUCGAUCAUAGGCGAGUCAGCGGAAGCAACAAUAUCUGAGUACAGACAUAAGUUAAACAAGUUUUCCAUAAGAUGGCUAGCACAAACUGGGAUACAAUCGAAAGAGGCGCAGGCCUCCUGCCUGGGAUCCUCCUAACUACUCCUGGUCGUCGUCAGCAGCCUGCACGUAGUAGUAGGCACCUCCGGUGUAGUCGUCAUCGUCGACGGUGGCGUCUGGCUCCUGGGCUCCAGAAUCUGGUUGCAGCAUCUGGGAAGAAGAGGAAAACGGGGGAAAAGAGGGAGCAAAGCAACCAUGAGUACUCAUCCAAAGUACUCGCAAGCAAGGAGCUACACUACAUAUGCAUGGGUAUAGGUGUAAGGAGGCCAUAUCAGUGGACUGAACUGCAGAAUGCCAGAAUAAGAGGGGGAUAGCUAGUCCUAUCGAAGACUACGCUUCUGGCAGCCUCCGUCUUGCAGCAUGUAGAAGAGAGUAGAUUGAAGUCCUCCAAGUAGCAUCGCAUAGCAUAACCCUACCCGGCGAUCCUCUCCUCGUCGCCCUGUUAGAGAGCGAUCACCGGGUUGUAUCUGGCACUUGGAAGGGUGUGUUUUAUUAAGUAUCCGGUUCUAGUUGUCAUAAGAUCAAGGUACAACUCCAAGUCGUCCUGUUACCGAAGAUCACGGCUAUUCGAAUAGAUUAACUUCCCUGCAGGGGUGCACCACAUAACCCAACACGCUCGAUCCCAUUUGGCCGGACACACUUUCCUGGGUCAUGCCCGGCCUUGGAAGAUCAACACGUCGCAGCCGCACCUAGGCACAACAGAGAGGUCAGCACGACGGUCUAAAUCCUAUGCGCGCAGGGGUCUGGGCCCAUCGCCCAUUGCACACCUGCAUGUUGCGUACAUGGCCGGUGAGCAAACCUAGCAACCUCCAUUACAAAGGAAGUUGCGUUAACGCAGUCCAACCCGGCACGCGCCGCUUAGUCGCUGAUGUCACGAAGGCUUCGGCUGAUACCACGACGUCGAGUGCCCAUAUCUUUCCCGCGUAGUUGGUUAGUGCGUAUAGGCCAGUAGCCAGACUCAGAUCAAAUACCAAGAUCUCGUUAAGCGUGUUAUUAUGAAGCAACCGCGAACGCCGACCAGGGCCAGGCCCACCUGUCUCCUAGGUGGUCUCAACCUGCCCUGUCGCUCCGCCACAAAGUAACAUUCGGGGGCCGUCGGGAACCCAGGCCCACCUCUACCGGGAUGGAGCCACCUGUCCUUUCAGCCCCCGCAUCGGAAUCACUUGCGGGUACUCAACGAGCUGACCCGACUUUAGUCACCAUUUGUAUAGUAUGUAUAUAUGUAUAGUAUAUACCCGUGAUCACCUCCCAAGUGAUCACGGCCCGAUAGUCUAGCAAGGCAGACUGACAAGAAUGUAGGGCCAAUGAUGAUAAACUAGCAUCCUAUACUAAGCAUUUAGGAUUGCGGGUAGGGUAUCAAUGACUGUAGCAACAAUGACAGGCUAUGCAAUAGAAUAGGAGUAACCGAACAGUAACAUGCUAUACUACUCUAAUGCAAGCAGUAUAGAGAAGAAUAGGCGAUAUCUGGUGAUCAGGGGGGGAGCUUGCCUGGUUGCUCUGGCAAGGAGGGGUCGUCGGUGACGUAGUCGAUCAACAGGGGCAUCAUCGGUCUCGGGGUCUACCGGAGAGAAGAGGGGGAAGAAACAGUAAAUAUAAAGCAAACAUAGCAUAACAGGACAACCAGUAGAGCUAGGCGUGUUCUAACGUGGUGCUACACGAUACCGAUGAGGGGGGAAGUCAACCGGGAAUGUUUUCCCGGUUCCGGACCUGUGUUAGACAAAUGACCGGAGGGGGAAAGUCCCACGGUCAGCAUGCUAGGGGCAUGUGACAGAUGAACGGACCGCGUAUUCGGAUUUGUUGGAUUUUUCUGAGCAACUUUCAUAUAGAAAACAUUUUCAUCCGACUUACGGGUUAAUUUCUAUGAAUUUCUAAAGAUUAAACCAUUUUUAGAAAUUAUUUAAAUUAACAGAAAUGAAUUAUGACGUCAGCAGAGUGUCAGCAUGACAUCAGCAGGUCAACAGACCCGCUGACUGGUCAAACUGGCCAAUUGGUCCCACCUGUCAUUGGCAGUGGGCUAACAACAAUUCAUUUUAAUUUAAACAGAAUAAUUAGUGAUUGGACCCCACUAGUCAGUGACUCAUUAGUUUAGCUAAUUAUGUUUAUUUAGGAAAACGUUUUAAUUAGGUUAAAAAGGCGGCGGGGGGGGGGGGUGUCAGUGGCACUGAGUGCACAGUCAGCAAAGUUGACCGGGUCAACUGGUCAACAGGAGGCCAGGGGCCCCACUGGCAGUGACCCAGGGGUGGCCCCAGGUGUGCCACGUCGAUGGUGGCCGGCGGCUAAACGCCGGCGACUGAAAAUACGGCAGAGGCGCUCGGGAUCUCGCCGGAAUCCACGUACAGGGGGCCAUUUGGCCCGUGCGUUGGCACGUUCGAACGAGUGAGCAACGCUGCAUCCAACACGGGUGGCCACGCGAGCUGUGAUGGCUGGAGCCGCCGCCGGCGACAGGGACGGCGGAGACCCGAAGCACGGCGAACUCGCGCGCGAUGAAACGGAGGCCAAAAUGGGUGGCGCGCUACUCCUACGAUGACUACUCGAAGCCACGAACGCGUUGGUGAGCUCGGCGAACCGGGACGAGCCCUACCGUGAUGGCUGCGAGCUCGAUAGCGGAGUCAGGGUGCGGCAGUGGCGGCGCAUCGUGCACAGCUUGCUACGGCACGUAAAUGGAGCUAGGACAGGGAGAGGAAAUGGGUGGAGCUCACCGAGUGGCUCACACGAUGGCCCGUGGUGGUUUAGGAGCUGCAGAGACGUCGCCGGAGCCGAGGAUGAGCGGCGGCGACCGGAGAUGUGGACGAAGGCGAACGGAGGCAGCGGGGCUCCACAUCUCCACCUGGUGGCACCAAGAGAGGUUGCCGACCGCGGUGAGGCCCGUGGACAAGGCCAGCAGGCACGGGGCCGCCGGUGGCCGUGGCAACGACGGAGGACGACGGCGAGGGCGCCCGGGCCGCGGAUCUAGAGGAGAGGAGGGGCGGAGCGAGCGAUGGCGAGGGAGGGAGAGUGGAUAGGGAUUGAGGGGAGGCCGAGGGGAAGGAGAGGUGGAUCUUUAUCCACCCGCGACGCCUGUAGCGGUGUGGUCGACGAGGUGGGUUCGGCGGCGACGGCAGGCACGCCUCGGUCGCUUGAUCAGAGAACGGGGGGGAGGAGGAGGAGGCCGUGGUGGGCUGGGUUCCAGGCACUAUGCACUUAGGCCGAGUCCUCAUCAGUAGCCUAGGCCCUUUUUUUGUAUUUAUUUGUUUUAUGUUUAUUAGUUUUCUAUUUUAUUUUCUAUAUAUUUUUGUUUUAUAAAAUAUACAAGUAGUACCUAAAUUAGUGUUACAAAAUACCCCAAUGCCACAAAAAGUUUGGUGACAAAAUAAAAUAGUUUAGUAAUUUAUUAAUUGUAAAAGGCAUUUAAUUAAUUGCUUUUGCUACUGUUUAAAUCCUUAUAAUUCAUUUAAGAAUUUUAUAAAAGCUUGGUUUCUCCACCAUAAUUGCUUACGAUUUAUUUGAAACAACCCGAACAUUUUAGUUUUAAUUUUUGAAAACUUUUGUUGUUUGCUUUUCUUUUGAAAUUGAAUUUGAAUCGGUUUCGAACUAAUGCGAGAUUAGCAAUAGUAAUCGAGGUGACGUGGCAUUAUUAGCAGAGGUUACUGUAGCUUGAUUAUCCGGGCGUCACAAUUCUCCUCCACUACAAGAAAUCUCGUCCCGAGAUUUAAGAGGGGAACUAGGGGGUAAGGUCUGGUUACGGAAUUCUAAUGAAUCUUCUCGUUCUUGGUUGCUCUUCUCGAAGUGGUCGAUCCUUUUCAUUGAUGUAUUCAUUUCUCUGCUUUAGGUCAUCAUGAUGAAGUCGGCAUCCUUUCUUCGGGAAUUCCAUCGUACUUUCAAAAGAAUAAAGGGUGGGUAUUCCGGGGGAACGAACCUCUGCAAGGUUAACUAUCUGGUCAAUAACAUCGACGGAGGUGGUGGGAAGUAACUCUCGAAUUGAAACUUAAGAAAGUAUCGAGAGCAAAGUAAGGAGGUAUCAUGGGAAGUUUCGAGCGGGCAGGCAAUCGUUUGAUGCCUGUUACAAGGCGUGAAAGGGGUUCAGAGCAACGGGAAUAAGCAGUGUGUCUGAUACCAGAAUAGAUCACUAGGAAGGUGGCUCGUGAUCUCUCAUACGAAGCCAAGCGUGAGGAUUAGCUUUAGGAACAUGGGUGUACAGGAGAGUCAGGUUUCGAUCCUGUGGAACUGUGGGUUAUGGGCCCACCAUGUGGGUUAAAAGUAUUAAGGGCGGAGACGUCUUGCUUGAUCAUGCAAGCAAGGUAUGUCAGAGGGUAGCCUAUCCGUUAUGUCGGCAACAAUAGCGAUACCAAAGGCGAGGGAUGAAGAGAACCAUUUUCCUGCUCGUUGAACGAGGCGGACCAAUAGGCAAAGUUCUCGUCCAUCGGUGGUUACCGGAAUGUCAUCAACAAUAGUAACAGGGUCUUACAGACAGAGCGGUACAACAAGGUGCUUACCUAAGCAGGGAAUUAUCUCUGCUCAGUUAAGUCAGAUUACAGGAAAGGCUAAACAAAAGAAUGGAAAGGAAAACGUGAUUAUCAGAUUAAACAGAACAAUGGAAAGAAAAAUUAUGAUUACACACAAUUAUUAGGACAAUAUCCUUUCCAUGUACAAGCAGAACAUGGCAUACAGGGUAGGAGAGCAAGUACCCAACCAUUCAGAAAAGAGGCAAGGAUUAAUCAAGAUGUUACCCAUACAACAGUGUUUGGAUAACUAGGCAAGAAACAUUUAGCUUUGGGCUUCAAAUGUUUUUGUUGAAAAUCGAAGUACCAUAGACAUGCUUCGAGAUAGCAUUGACAUGGUCUUCAAGCAAAGGUCAGACUUGGAUAUACAAAGGAUUCAUCAGGAACAACUUAUAAAAUAAGUUUCACAAUUUCCUCAUGGAAGAAUGGUUAACCUUGCUAAGAUGGAAACUAUAACAAUUGGUCCUCCGGCCAGGUGUGCUAGGCAUGACAUCACCUUACUGGGUCAUAUAAAGACCAAUGUUCUGACUCUUGGAAAAUGUUCCAACCAUCAUAUCUAACCAAGAUUCAGAUCUGAUUGGUGUCAGGAUACCUCAGACUCGGGAUGCCUGAGAAGAAAGGUGCAACACAAAUUGACGGGAUGACACUGUAAGAUUCUCAGGAAAUGAACUACGAAGUAAUUUCCGUUAACAAGAGUUCAUCAUUAACCCAAGGAGAGGACAAGGAGGUGGCUGAUGAACUCAACGACAAUUCAUCAAAAUUUCCAAAGGAUGGAUUUCCACAAUUAUGUGAACAAGGAGAUAACAUUUGUCAGAUCAAAAUGAUAUAUUGAUGUAUGAUUGAGGAAAACAUACACAAUUUAACAAUGGUUGAAAGGUGCACCCGGAAUAUGGGCCGGGUUGCACGGCCAACAUUGGAAUGGUGAUUCAAUAAUCAAUAGUCUAAGAAUGAACGGCCGACCAUUAACUUCAAAGCAAUAGGGUUGCUAAAAGGGUGGAAUCCAAACAGCACUGCUCACUUGUUGGUACCUUGGUUGGAAUCAACACGAGGACCCAAGAAAGAAUGGUGAUGGUGAGAAGUAUCACCAUACCAAGAAUUCUUAAGAGGUGGUGAAAUUCCCACGAUAUUCUUGACAUAAAAGGUGGUAAUAUUCCAAGGUAAAGAAGAACAAUGCUGGGUAGCAAGGAACUCAAGGUAUAACACAAAACACGAACAAGUUUGUGUUGGAGGGAAGGCAGUAUAGUGGUUGAUGAUAACCCAAAUCAUUGAGGCAAGGAUGUAUUUCUCAUCAUGAAUCCGAUUGAUAUCCUGGAAGAGCUCAUAAGGUCGAUGAUGAUCAUGACACAUUUGUUGAGAGGUUACACGAAGAUGUAAUUGAUCGACGAUGACAUCAAGUCAAACGAAUGAUGAAGCGAAAGGUUAUUGGAACCACGGUUAGGACACAAACCCCAAAGCAAGCUUGCUGUCCAAAGCAAAAUGAUAUGAUGAGGAAAGAUCGACGUAAGGUUAGCUCAUCGUCAAAAAUUAUGCUCUGGGAAGAGGACCAGGUAGCACAGUUAAAAUCGGCACGACAAGGAUAUAGCCAAACAGGCUAGGAAUGACGUGAUGGAAUUCAAACUCGUAAGUAAUGAAGGUUACCAAGAGUUGCUUAAUCGCGAUGCAGACUCGUGUCAGUUAUCGGUGUCUUUGAGUGUUAAAUAACUCAGAGCCCGUGAAAAAUUGGAAUCAAUGAGAAUGUAGCACUUGAUGAAGAACUCAUAAGAAGUUAUGCAGUUCCGUGAUAAUCUUGAGAUACCUAGGGGGUAAUACUCGAGGACAAAUCAAAGUAGAGGUUGGACUGGGGUAUUACUCUACAGAAGACAAGUGCUUAAACUUGCACGAGAAAUGGUAUUUAAAGAAGAACAUGGUAGGAAAUCUCGAUCAUAAAUGAUCGGACCACGGAUACAAGAUGAACUUAUAACAAGGGGGUAACUAUUUUUACGAGCAGCUUCCAUGAUAAGUUAUACAUCGUGUCCAUGGGCAUGGACUCCCACUUCUUCAAUGUAUAACCUCCCAUUCACUUCUCGCUUUGAUAAAGGCAUUAGUGUUGAAAGCUUUACCUGGUGUAAUACCAGAUGAGUAUGACUCGUGAAAACUUUCGAGUUCACACAUAUUAAGGAAGGCAUAGGUUCAACCCGUCAGGGUAUCGUGGAAACAUAUACCACAAGCUUCAAUAGUAACUAACACAAGCUCGAUAGUAGAGCAUGGUUGACAAAAACAGAGGAUACAAUUUACCUAAGGCAUUAUGUAUCAGGGAAAGAACUUCUCGAGGUUUUUGUAUACGAAGGACACUGUCGGAUGAUAUUUCAACAAAGGAUCUGACAGUCCUUAGUGAAACUGAUGUGAGUAUCGGCACACAACCAGAGGAAGAAACAAUGCGAAGGCAUUGGAUUAUAGAAGCAACUUACUAAUUCAAAGCUCACAUGUAAAGGAAUUAUGAUUACCAAAUCAAAGGAUCAGAAGCAAACGCUCUGAUUAAGGAUGGAUAAGUUGAGUAAGCUUAGGGGUAAAAUCGACAACAAUUUGAUUGGUCGAGAUCAAGCUCAUGUUUAAAGUGACGUCUGAGUCGAAAAGAUAAUUUAAAAGGAUCAACUGAUGAUUGCGUGCAUUCGUACUCAUUUUGAAUCAAUAGGAUCAAAAUGACGGUGCCUAAGGAUACUAACGAAUAUUGCCAGACAUAUGGAAAGCAUCCAAAAUGCAAGCAGACAAGUAUUGCAGAGCAAUAAGCUACUAAGGAUUUUUGGAGUAUCGAAUAGUAUUUUGAAGACCACUGUGGAACACAUGAGCAACGUUGAAAGAAUGGAUACUCGGUAAGUGUGAGGAGUUAUCCAUAGGGGGUAUUCAUGUGGCAAAGAUUUGCAAUGCAAUGGCUCAAAAGAUUCUUAAAAGUCGAAGAACAAUUCGAUGCAUCUUGUAAUAACAAGAGCAGCUAGGGAUGAAUGUAAGAAUGGAAAGGGAAAUAAGUUAUCCAUAAGGAUUUAUCAGUGGUAGGGUAUUGCAAAAGAAGUGGGCACAAAGUCUCGAGAGAACUUCAGCGAGUAUCUUCGGAAUCUUCUGAUGUAACAAACGAUUAUCGGGAGUGAGGGGCUCUUCGGGAGAAAGUAUUUUCGAGAACCUAAAGUUAGAUUUUUAGAAAAUAUUUAACCCGAAUAGAGGAGAGAUUAGAGUCCCAGAGUAUAGGUCGAGGAAUAAAAGAUCCUAAUACUACCCAAUUGGCGACGUGGGCCCAUGGGCCACACAGCCAAGUUAGUAAAACAAUUUUCAUCGACUAUACUCAACUUCGGCCAAGGAGUUGGAAAGGGGGAUUCCUACAGGCAGUCGGCUCUGAUACCAACUUGUGACGCCCCCGAUUCAAUCAUACACUAAUCAUACACGCAAACGUGUACGAUCAAGAUCAGGGACUCACGGGAAGAUAUCACAACACAACUCUAAAAAUAAAAUAAGUCAUACAAGCAUCAUAUUACAAGCCAGGGGCCUCGAGGGCUCGAAUACAAGUGCUCGAUCAUAGACGAGUCAGCAGAAGCAACAAUAUCUGAGUACAGACAUAAGUUAAACAAGUUUGCCAUAAGAUGGCUAGCACAAACUGGGAUACAAUCGAAAGAGGCGCAGGCCUCCUGCCUGGGAUCCUCCUAACUACUCCUGGUCGUCGUCAGCAGCCUGCACGUAGUAGUAGGCACCUCCAGUGUAGUCGUCAUCAUCGACGGUGGCGUCUGGCUCCUGGGCUCCAGAGUCUGGUUGCGACAUCCGGGAAGAAGAGGAAACCGGGGGAAAAGAGGGAGCAAAGCAACCGUGAGUACUCAUCCAAAGUACUCGCAAGCAAGGAGCUACACUACAUAUGCAUGGGUAUAGGUGUAAGGAGGCCAUAUCAGUGGACUGAACUGCAGAAUGCCAGAAUAAGAGGGGGAUAGCUAGUCCUAUCGAAGACUACGCUUCUGGCAGCCUCCGUCUUGCAGCAUGUAGAAGAGAGUAGAUUGAAGUCCUCCAAGUAGCAUCGCAUAGCAUAACCCUACCCGGCAACCCUCUCCUCGUCACCCUGUUAGAGAGCGAUCACCGGGUUGUAUCUGGCACUUGGAAGGGUGUGUUUUAUUAAGUAUCCGGUUCUAGUUGUCAUAAGGUCAAGGUACAACUCCAAGUCGUCCUGUUACCGAAGAUCACGGCUAUUCGAAUAGAUUAACUUCCCUGCAGGGGUGCACCACAUAACCCAACACGCUCGAUCCCAUUUGGCCGGACACACUUUCCUGGGUCAUGCCCGGCCUCGGAAGAUCAACACGUCGCAGCCGCACCUAGGCACAACAGAGAGGUCAGCACGCCGGUCUAAAUCCUAUGCGCGCAGGGGUCUGGGCCCAUCGCCCAUUGCACACCUGCAUGUUGCGUACGCGGCCGGUGAGCAAACCUAGCAACCUCCAUUACAAAGGAAGUUGCGUUAACGCAGUCCAACCCGGCGCGCGCCGCUCAGUCGCUGACGUCACGAAGGCUUCGGCUGAUACCACGACAUCGAGUGCCCAUAUCUUUCCCGCGUAGUUGGUUAGUGCGUAUAGGCCAGUAGCCAGACUCAGAUCAAAUACCAAGAUCUCGUUAAGCGUGUUAUUAUGAAGCAACCGCGAACGCCGACCAGGGCCAGGCCCACCUGUCUCCUAGGUGGUCUCAACCUGCCCUGUCGCUCCGCCACAAAGUAAUAGGUGGGGGCCGUCAGGAACCCAGGCCCACCUCUACCGGGAUGGAGCCACCUGUCCUUUCAGCCCCCACAUCGGAAUCACUUGCGGGUACUCAACGAGCUGACCCGACUUUAGUCACCAUUUGUAUAGUAUGUAUAUAUGUAUAGUAUAUACCCAUGAUCACCUCCCAAGUGAUCACGGCCCGAUAGUCUAGCAAGGCAGACUGACAAGAAUGUAGGGCCAAUGAUGAUAAACUAGCAUCCUAUACUAAGCAUUUAGGAUUGCGGGUAGGGUAUCAAUGACUGUAGCAACAAUGACAGGCUAUGCAACAGAAUAGGAGUAACCGAACAGUAACAUGCUAUACUACUCUAAUGCAAGAAGUAUAGAGAAGAAUAGGCGAUAUCUGGUGAUCAGGGGGGGGGCUUGCCUGGUUGCUCUGGCAAGGAGGGGUCGUCGGUGACGUAGUCGAUCACAGGGGCAUCAUCGGUCUCGGGGUCUACCGGAGAGAAGAGGGGGAAGAAACAGUAAAUAUAAAGCAAACAUAGCAUAACAGGACAACCAGUAGAGCUAGGCGUGUUCUAACGUGGUGCUACAUGAUACCGGCGAGGGGGGAAGUCAACCGGGAAUGUUUUCCCGGUUCCGGACCAGUGUUAGACAAAUGACUGGAGGGGGAAAGUCCCAUGUUCAGCAUGCUAGGGGCAUGUGACAGAUGAACGGACCGUGUAUUCGGAUUCGUUGGAUUUUUCUGAGAAACUUUCAUAUAGAAAACAUUUUCAUCCGACCUGCGGGUUAAUUUCUAUGAAUUUCUAAAGAUUAAACCAUUUUCAGAAAUUAUUUAAAUUAACAGAAAUGAAUUAUGACGUCAGCAGAGUGUCAGGAUGACAUCAGCAGGUCAACAGACCCGUUGACUGGUCAAACUGGCCAAUUGGUCCCACCUGUCAUUGGCAGUGGGCUAACAACAAUUCAUUUUAAUUUAAACAGAAUAUUUAGUGAUUGGACCCCACUAGUCAGUGACUCAUUAGUUUAGCUAAUUAUGUUUAUUUAGGAAAACGUUUUAAUUAGGUUAAAAAGGCGGGGGGGUGGGGGGGGGGGCGUGUGUCAGUGGCACUGAGUGCACAGUCAGCAAAGUUGACCGGGUCAACUGGUCAACAGGAGGCCAGGGGCCCCACUAGCAGUGACCCAGGGGUGGCCCCAGGUGUGCCACAUCGAUGGUGGCCGGCGGCUAAACGCCGGCGACCGAAAAUACGGCAGAGGCGCUCGGGAUCUCGCCGGAAUCCACGUACAGGGGGCCAUUUGGCCCGUGCAUUGGCACGUUCGAACGAGUGAGCAACGCCGCAUCCAACGCGGGUGGCCACGCGAGCUGUGAUGGCCGGAGCCGCCGUCAGCGACAGGGACGAUGGAGACCCGAAGCACGACGAACUCGCGCACGAUGAAACGGAGGCCAAAAUGGGCGGCGUGCUACUCCUACGGUGACUACUCGAAGCCAGGAACGCGUUGGUGAGCUCGGCGGACCGGGACGAGCCCUACCGUGACGGCUGCGAGCUCGAUAGCGGAGUCAGGGUGUGGCAGUGGCGGCGCAUCAUGCACAGCUUGCUGCGGCACGUAAACGGAGCUAGGACGGGGAGAGGAAAGGGGUGGAGCUCACCGAGUGGCUCACACGAUGGCCCGUGGUGGUUUAGGAGCUGCAGAGACGUCGUCGGAGCCGAGGAUGAGCGGCAGCGACCGGAAAUGUAGACGAAGGCGAACGGAGGCAGCGGGGCUCCACAUCUCCACCUGGUGGCACCAAGAGAGGUUGCCGACCACGGCGAGGCCCGUGGACAAGGCCAGCAGGCAUGGGGCCGCCGAUGGCCGUGGCAACGACGAAGGACGGCGGCGAGGGCGCUCGGGCCGUGGAUCUGGAGGAGAGGAGGGGCGGAGCGAGCGAUGGCGAGGGAGGAAGAGUGGAUAGGGAUUGAGGGGAGGCCGAGGGGAAGGGGAGGUGGAUCUUUAUCCACCCACGACGCCUGUAGCGGUGUGGUCGACGAGGUGGGUUCGGCGGCGACGGCGGGCACGCCUCGGUCACUUGAACAAAGAACGGGGGGGAGGAGGAGGAGGCCGUGGUGGGCUGGCUUCCAGGCACUGUGCACUUAGGCCUAGUCCUCAUCAGUAGCCUAGGCCCUUUUUUUGUAUUUAUUUGUUUUCUAUUUAUUAGUUUUCUAUUUUAUUUUCUAUAUAUUUUUGUUUUAUAAAAUAUAUAAGUAGUACCUAAAUUAGUGUUACAAAAUACCCCAAUGCCACAAAAAGUUUGGUGACAAAAUAAAAUAGUUUAGUAAUUUAUUAAUUGUAAAAGGCAUUUAAUUAAUUGCUUUUGCUACUGUUUAAAUCCUUAUAGUUCAUUUAAGCAUUUUAUAAAAGCUUGGUUUCUCCACCAUAAUUGCUUACGAUUUAUUCGAAACAACCCGAACAUUUUAGUUUUAAUUUUUGAAAACUUUUGUUGUUUGCUUUUCUUUUGAAAUUGAAUUUGAAUCGGUUUCGAACUAACGCGAGAUUAGCAACAGUAAUCGAGGUGACGUGGCAUUAUUAGCAGAGGUUACUGUAGCUUGAUUAUCCGGGCGUCACACUUAUGGCCCGUUACUGGCCUUUUCUACCCGUGGGCCAAAUUCAGCUCGUGGUUACAGUCGGCCCGUUUGUGGCCCGCUAAUCCGUUGGGCCAUUUCCAUAGUGUCAUCAAAUACGACUGAUGAACGACGACCCGUUAUGGUCGGCCCAUGAACAGACGGUUCCAACUCUAGCCUGUUUACGGCCCAUAAUGCAGUCCGUUAUUGGCCCAUGUUUGGCCAAUCGAUCAUACGGCCCGUAGAAGGCCCAUUGAUGCUACACCCCAUAGAAGGCCCAUUGUUUCUACGGCCUAUAGAAGGCCCUUGUUUCUACGGCCCGUAGGAGGUCCAUGGUCACUACAGUAAAUAUGUAGCCCAUGGUUAUUGUGGCCUAGUUUUAAAAAAAGGUUAUUGCGGCCACUAGCAAACCACAGAAAAAGAACUGCAUUGACUACAAGCAAACAAAUAAACAAGGCAACAAGGAAAUAAAUAAGCAAGCAAGUUACGCUAGGCUAUCAUGGCUAUUACACAUAUUACAUCCACUAGGCAUCAAAGUUCACCACCAGUGCAAAUAUAGGGAACAAAGCAGCAUAUCACAUACACUGGUUGUCAAAGUUGGAGAACAGUGCAAAUAAAGGCCACAACAAAACAAGUACAUAACUGAAACCACUUCAGAAGAGCUCAAGAAACAAUAUCCUGGGUACCCAUAAUGCUGGCAAGAUGCUUAGCAAGCUUAUUAGCUUUCUCUUGUUUGGCGCUUAAAUCCUCCAGCGGUUGCUGUUGCACUAGAAAGUAUGCAUCUGAAUUCUAUAGGGACUUCCCCAGUCCUUCGGCUUCUUGCCACAGCACAGCUGACUGACGCCUUUCAACUUGUAGCUGAGACUGAAUAAGCCGAAGUGAUUUAGGCAGCGAGUUCAAAGAGCUUGUGCCAGCGGUACUGGCCAGUAACUCGAACACUACAUCAACGCGGGACUUUGGGGUUGUCUCACUGUCUAGAAGAUCGUUUUUAUCACCUUUCUUGGAGACCAACAGGGUUAUCCACUAUCUUGAACCUUAUCUGCAUUACUUUCUCUACCAUUGCAUAGUGGGGUGCUCUUCUCCAAUAUCCUGUUCGCAUUAUACAAGAGAAACAAGAAGACACAUCACAGGUUUAACAUGUAGUAUACAAAACUCAUUUUGGUAAACCGGUCCAGUAGUAAGGUGGACAGGAUAACAACAUGAAACAAACAUAUAUCUAUGUACUAUGGUCACUGUAUUGUCCAUACCAUUCUAGUUUAUGUUGCCAAAUCAAGAUAGAGACACAGUUCAAAUCAUAUAUUUUUAAGACACAACAACAUAGAAAGAAUAUAAGUGUGAGAAAUUACACAACACUGGCAACACUUGUAAUGUGCAUCACGUGAGAACAUAACUGUUUAUACAACUGAAACUGAAAUCAACAUAGAGCAAGAAGUUAGAACAACAAUCCAGUUAAAGAAAUAGGUUUGAAACAUACAUGUUGCGCCAUUGGAGUUUCAAUUGGAUCCUUCAAAUUCGAAAUUAGUUGGUAUGAGUAAAUAUAGUGAUGCAAGAGCAAAGGAGUAUGGACCAUAGCUAUGGAAUCUAACCUGAGAACAGUUGCUCUUCUGCUUUAAACGUGGAGUUUGGGUUCGCUUUGGUGGUCUUCGUGCUUUGGGCACUGCAGUUGCUUUACAAACUGCUCGUGUGGGGGUACUCUGUGGUGGACAUGGUGCUGUGUCAACUAGAAGUGGGUUACUAUCCACUGGGGUUGGGGUGAGAUGGGUUGUAGGUGGUUCUCUGUCCAAUAGUGUAAGUGUGCAAUCUGGAAGACUCUUGAUUAUGCGUGGUGGGGCUAGUUCGUGGGCUAGUACAACCAUGGUUCUAUUUGCAUCGACAAGUAGCAUCGUCUUUUGUGAAGAACGGGUUUUUGCUCCCUUAGACACUUCCGUCACCCCUCCAAUUCAAAUGGCUGAUAAACAAGAAAAGAAAUUGAACGUACAGACAUUGUAUGAUAGACAGAUGUGGUAAUUCACAAAUAUGUUGUCUAACCAAACAAGAUAACAUGACACAAUUUCACAUAUAUGAUGGCUAACUAAACAUGAUAGCAUGACACAGUUUCAGAUAUAUGAUGGCUAACUAAAUAGGACAACAUGACACAAUUUCACAUAUAUGAUGGCUAACUAAACAGGAUAGCAUGACAUACUUUUCCCACCAACGAAAAUGACUUAGAGCUCCCAACACUUUCCAUGCUAGAUACAUCAUAGGCGGUUCCCAAACAGAAAAUAAUGUUUAUUCAUUUUUCCACCAUACGUCCACUUUCCAUGGCUAACCGUAUCCACGGGUGCCCUCCAUACCAACACUUUACAAGGAAUUUAUUAUUUGACAACAUAAAUUAAAUUCAUUUUUCAUUUUGGGACUAGGCAUCCCUAAUACCUUUGUCGUACUCUCGUGCAAUGACUAGUGAAUAAACACUCAUCGUGAUAAUAACACAUCUAGCAUGGAAAAUAUUGGCCACCCCUCACCACCUUGCGAGCGGUACAAGCACACAAAAGAGAAAAUUAUUUUGAAAAUUAGAGAUGGCACAUGCAAAUUUGCUUAGAACGACACAGAAAUACCACAUAUAGGUAGGUAUAGUGGACUGAUAUGGAAAAACUGGUUUAAAGAGUUUUGGAUGCACAAGUAGUGAUCAUACUUAGUGCAAAAUGAAGGCUAGCAAAAAGAUUGAUAAGCGACCAACCAAGAAACGAAAAAUCUCGUACCCAAGCAUUAAGCAUAAGUAACACCAAAUAAUGUACCACAAGUAGGAUAUAAAUUUCAUUGCAUAACUACUGAUUUUCGUGCUUGCAUAGGGAAUCACAAACUUUAACACCAAUAUUCUUACUAAAGCAUAAUUACUCAUCAACAUGACUCACAUAUCAUAUCUUCAUAUCUCAAAACCAUUACUAAGAAUCAAGUUUAUUUUGUCCAAUGAUCUUCAUGAAAGUUUUUAUUAUAUCCUUCUUGGAUAUCUAUCACUUUGGGACUAUUUUCAUAUGUUGCUUUUGAUAAGCUCAAACAAAUUUAAGUGAAGAACAUGAACAUAAUAUUUCUUUAUCUCAAAAUAAUCUAAGUGAAGCAAGAGAGAAUUUCUUCAAAAAUAACAAAGCACACCUUGCUCAAAAAGAUAUAAGUGAAGCACUAGAGCAAUUCCAUGGCUCUAAAAAUUGAAGUGAAGCAUAGGAUCAAGCAUAGCAUAAUUUUUGGAUCUCUCAAAAAGGUGUGCCCAACAAGGAUUCAAGACUUAAAAUACAAAGCGAAACAAGCAAAGACUCAAAUCAUACAAGACGCUCCAAUCAAAACUCAUAAUAUGUGACGAAUAAAAAUAUAGUUCCAAGUAAAAUAUCGAUGAUUGUUAGAAGAAAGAGGGGAUGCCACUCGGGGGCAUCCCCAAGCUUAGUUGCGUGCUACUUGGGGUGCCUCGGCCAUUCCCAAGCUUAGCCUUUUUCUAAUCCUUAUCCCUUCAUCCAUCGUAAGAUCACCCAAAACUUGAAAACUUCAAUCACACAAAACUCAACAAAACCUUCGUGAGAUCCGUUAGUAUAAGAAAGCAAACCACUACUAUAAGUACUGUUGCAACCCAUUCAUAUUUUAUUUUUGCAUUAUAUCUACUGUAUUCCAACUUUUCUGUGGUUAAAACUCUUCAAAGAAAACCAUAGAAUCAUUGAAACAAGCACACAACGCAAAGAAAAUGGAAUCUAUAAAAAACAGAACAAUCUAUAGAAAUCUGACUACUUCGAAUACUUAUAUAAAUCCCAAAAUUCUGAGAAAUUAGGACGACGUGAAUAAUUUGUUUAUUAAUCUUCUGCAAAAAGAAUCAACUCAAAAUCAAUUUUCUGGUGAAAAUGAAAAAUAAUUUCGUGAGCGUAAAAGUUUCUGUUUUUCAGCUAGAUCAAAUCAAUUCUCACCCAAAUCAUCCCAAAGGCCUUGCUUGGAAAAAACAAUGAUUUAAACCACAAAACACAUCUAAUCAGAGGCAUACUUGUGUAUUUUAUUGAAAACAGCAAGAAAACCAAAAAACAAAAAGAUACAUGUUGGGUUGCCUCCCAACGAGCGCUAUCGUUUUACGCCCCUAGCUAGGCAUAACACGAAGGAUCUAAGUUUUGUCAUCUUUAGUUCUAGAUCCAUACGAUGCCUCAUGAUUGAUUCAUAUGGUGGCCUAAUUCUCGUUCUAAGGAAGUGUUCAAUACCCUUCCUUAGUGGAAAUUGAAAUUUAACAUUGCCUUCUUUCAUAUCAAUCACGACACCAAUAGUACAUAAAAACGGUCUACCAAGUAUAAUUGGAGAAGACAGAUUGCAAUCAAUAUCAAGAACAAUAAAAUCUAUGGGCACAUAAUUUCUAUUUGCAAGAAUAAUAACAUCAUUAAUUCUUCCCAUAGGCUUUUUAAUAGUAGAAUCCGCUAAGUGCAAAUUUAAAGAGCGUUCUUCAAUAUCGGUAAGACCAAGCACAUCACAUAAAGACUUCAGAAUUGUAGAAACACUAGCACCCAAGUCACAUAAAAAAACACUCAUAAAUUUUAAUCUUGACUUUGAUGGUAGGUUCCCAUUCAUCAUGCAACUUUCUAGGAACUGAAACUUCUAAUUCCAACUUUUCUUCAAAAGAUUUCAUCAUAGCAUCAACAAUAUGUUUAGUGAAAGCUUUAUUUUGUUCAUAAGCAUGGGGUGAAUUUAUCAUGAAUUGCAACAAAUAAAUACGAUCAACCAAAGAGCAACUAUCAUAAUUAAAUUCUUUGUAAUCCAAAAUAGUGGGCACUUAUUCAAACCCACUUUUAUCAAUUUUCUCAACAAGAUUUUCACCCUCCGAAUUAUAGGGACGCCUUCUAACUAAAGUUGACUCUUCCCCAAUCCAUUUUUCAUCAAUAUUAAUUUUACUAAACAAAGAAUCAAUAGAAGAAGCACCAAUCGUUUUAAGAUCUUCAUCACUUUUAUGAAAGUAAUCACUAGAAACCGCCCUUUCUAAAAAUUCUCUUUUAGCUCUAAGCAUAGCGGUUCUUUUCUUACUUUCAUCCAUAGAAACAUAAAGAGAUUUAAUUGAUUCUUCAACUUUAGGCACAAAAUUUUUCAUCUUGAGAGUUUCUACAUCAUGAGAACUUAUAUCAAUACUUCUAGACAUAUCAUCAACUUUAUUCAACUUUUCUUCUAUCUAAGCAUUGGAAACUUUUUGAGUAUUGAUAAAUUCUUUAAUAUUAUUCUCAAGAUCAGAGGUGUUUCUAUUAUUAUUAUAAGUAGGAUUACCAUAAUUAUUAGUGGAAUUACUAGGAAAAGACCUAGGAUUAAAAUUACCUCUAUAAGCAUUGUGUAUUGAAAUUGUUUUGCGAGAUAAAAUUCACAUCUAUGGAGUCACUAUUUUGCUCAAUCAAGGUAGACAAAGGCACAUCAUUAAAAUCAAUAGGAGCACUUUUAUUAGCAACCAACUUCAUAAGAGCAUCAACCUUUUCAAUCAAAGAAUUUAUUUCUUCUACCGAAUUGACCUUUUUACUAGUAGGAGCUCUUUUGAUAUGCCAUUGUGAGUAAUUGGCCAUAAUAUUGCCUAGCAAUUUAGUAGCUUCACCCAAAGUAAUUUCCAUAAAGGUACCACCAUGGUGGAGUCCAAAAGAUUACAAGAAACAAAAUUCAACCUCGCAUAAAAUUUUUGUAUGAUCAUCCAAAGAUUCAACCCAUGAGUUGGGCAAUUCCUUAGCAUCAAUUUCAUCCUUUUCCAAGAUUGUGCAACAUGCUCAUGUUCAAGUUGCCUAAAAUUCAUGAUCUGGGUUCUAAGAGAAAUGAUUUUUGUGGGCAGAAAAUACUUAGUAAUAAAAGCAUCCUUGCACUUGUUCCAAGAAUUGAUACUAUUGCAAGGCAAAGAAGAAAACCAAAUUUUUGCGCAAUCUCGCAAAGAAAACAGAAACAAUUUCAACUUCACAACAUCAUUGUCCACAUCUUUUUUCUUUUGCAUAUCGCAUAAUUCCAUGAAUGUGUUAAGAUGGGACAAGGCAUCCUCAUUAGGACUACCGACAAAUUGAUCUUUCAUGACAAGAUUCAACAAAAAAGUAUUAAUAUCACAAGACUCCGCACUAGUGGUGGGACGAGCAAUCAGAGUGCUAAUAAAACCAUUGUUAUUGGUAUUUGAGAAAUCACACAACUUGGCGUUCUCUUGAGUCAUGAUGACUUCACAAGAAGAUUGCACUGAAAAACAGAUCUGACGAGAAAACGGCGAACGAAAAAGAGGGCGAAUAAAACGGCAAAUUUUUGUGAAGUGGGGGAGAGGAAAAUGAGAGGUAAAUGGCAAAUAAUGUAAAUUACGAGGAGAUGAGAUUUGUGAUUAGGAACCUAGUUGAUGUUGAAGAUCCUUCCCGAUAACGGCGCCAGAAAUUCCUUUUGACGCCUGCUUGAACUAUGUCGGUAUUUCCCCAAAGAGGAAGGAAUGAUGCAGCACAGGGACAGUAGGUAUUUCCCUCAGUGAUGGGACCAAGGUUAUCGAACGAGUAGGAGAACAAAUCAACACAACGUAAACAACCCCUGCACACAAGUAACGAAUAUUCGCAACCCGACGUGUUAAAGGGGUUGUCAAUCCCUUUCGGGUAACGGUGCCUCAAAUUGGCGAGAAGACAUGAUAAAGUUGUGAUAGAUAGGAUAAAUUGAUCGCAAAUAAAAUAAAGUGCAACAAGGUAUUUUUGUAUUUUUGGUUUAAUAGAUCUGAAAAUAAAAGCAAAGUAAAAUAGAUCGCAAAGGCAAAUAUGAUGAAAAGAGACCCGGGGGCCGUAUGUUUCACUAGUGGCUUCUCUCGAGAAAAAAAUAGCAAACAGUGGGAAAACAAUUACUGUUGGGCAAUUGAUAGAACUUCAAAUAAUCAUGAGGAUAUCCAUGCAAUGAUCAUUAUAUAGGCAUCAUGUCCAAGAUUAGUAGACCAACUCCUGCCUGCAUCUACUACUAUUACUCCACACAUCGACCGCUAUCCAACAUGCAUCUACUGUAUUAAGUUCAUGGGAAAACGGAGUAAUGCAAUAAGAACGAUGACAUGAUGUAGACAAGAACUAUUUAUGUAGAAAUAGACCCCCGAUGACCCACAAGUAUAGGGGAUCUAUUGUAGCCCUUUCGAUAAGUAAGAUUGUCAAACCCAACGAGGAGCAGAAGGAAAUGACAAGCGGUUUUCAGUAAGGUAUUCUUUGCAAGCACUGAAAUUAUCGGUAAUAGAUAGUUUUGUGAUUAGGUAAUCCGUAAUGGGUAACAAGUAACAAUAGUAAACAAGGUGCAGCAUGGUGGCCCAAUCCUUUUUGUAGCAAAGGACAAGCCUAGAAAAACUCUUAUAUAAAGCAAAGCGUUCCCGAGGACACAUGGGAAUUACUGUCAAGCUAGUUUUCAUCAUGCUCAUAUGAUUCACGUUCAUUACUUUGAUAAUUUGAUAUGUGGGUGGACCGGUGCUUGGUCACUGCCCUUCCUUGGACAAGCAUCCCACUUAUGAUUAACCCCUCUCGCAAGCAUCCGCAACUACGAAAGAAGAAUUAAGGUAAACCUAACCAUAUCAUGAAACAUAUGGAUCCAAUUCAGCCCCUCACGAAGCAACACAUAAACUAGGGUUUAAGCUCUGUCACUCUAGCAACCCAUCAUCUACUUAUUACUUCCCAAUGCCUUCCCCUAGGCCCAAAUCAUGGUGAAGAGUCAUGUAGUCGAUGUUCACAUAACACCACUAGAGGAGAGACAACAUACAUCUCAUCAAAAUACCGAACGAAUACCAAAUUCACAUGUUUACUUAUAACAAGACUUAUCCCAUGUCCUCAAGAUCAAACCUAACUACUCACAAAUCAUAUUCAUGUUCAUAAUCAGAGGGGUAUUAAUAUGCAUUAAGGAUCUGAACAUAUGAUCUUCCAUCAAAUAAACCAACUAGUAUCAACUAAAAGGAGUAAUCAACACUAGUAGCAACCCAUAGGUACCAAUAUGAGGUUUUGAGACAAAGAUCGUAUACAAGAGAUGAACUAGGGUUUGAGAAGAGAUGGUGCUGGUGAAGAUGUUGAUGGAGAUUGACCUCCUCUUGAUGAGAGGAUCGAUGGUGAUGAUGAUGGCGACAAUUUCCCCCUCCCGGAGGGAUGUUUCCCCGGUAGAACAGCUCCGCCGGAGCCCUAGAUUGGUCCUGCCCAGGUUCCGCCUCGAGACAACGGCGCUUCGUCUCGAAAGCUUCCUUAUGAUUUUUUCCAUGGAAAAAUACACCAUAUAGCAGAAGAUGGACGUCGGGGGCCCGCCAAGUAGCCCACGAGGCAGGGGGCAUGCCCAAGGGGGUAGGGCGCACCCUCCACCCUCGUGCCUGGUGGGUGGCCCCCUCUGGUGCUUUCUUCUCCCAAUAUUUUUAAUAUAUUCCAAAACUGACUUUCUGGAGUUUCAGGACUUUUGGAGUUGUGCAGAAUAGGUCUCUAAUAUUUGCUCCUUUUCUAGCCCAGAAUUCAAGCUACCGACAUUCUCCCUCUUCGUGUAAACCUUAUAAAAUAAGAGAGAAAAGGCAUAAGUAUUGUGACAUAAUGUGUAGUAACAACCCAUAAUGCAAUAAAUAUUGAUAUAAAGGCAUGAUGCAAAAUGGAUGUAUCAACUCCCCCAAGGUUAGACCUCGCUUGUCCUCAAGCGAAAGCCAAUAUCAAAAAAUAUGUCCACAUGUUUAGAGAUAGAGGUGUCGAUAAAAUAAAAUACGGACAUGAGGUCAUCAUGAUCAUCUUUAGAACAACAACAUAUAUAUUGUCAUAUGAUUUCUUAUGCUAAAGUACCAAUCUAUUCACAAUGUAAAGUAUGAAUCAGAAACUUCAUUGAAAACUAACAAACUAUGAUCUCGGUCAUUGAAGCAAUUGCAAUUUAUCAUAACAUCGGAAAGAGUCAAUAUAAGAGCUUUUCAACAAGUCCACAUACUCAACUAUCAUUUAGUCUUUCACAAUUGCUAACACUCACGUGAUACUUAUGGGUAUGAAGUUUCAAUCGGACACAGAGAAAGAUAGGGGCUUAUAGUUUCGCCUCCCAACCUUUUACCUCAAGGGUAAUGUCAAGAAUAAUACUUUAUGAAAACCUACAUCCAAGUGGAUAUAUAUAUCAGGAUCUUUCCAACACGUAGUGCUUGCCAAAGGAUAAAGUGUAAAAAGGAAAGGUGAAGAUCACCAUGACUCUUAUAUAAGGGUAGAUGGUAAAAAUAAAAGAUAGUCCCUUCGCAGAGGGAAGCAGAGGUUGUCAUCCACUUUUAUGGUUGGAUGCACAAAAUCUUAAUGCAAAAGAAUGUCACUUUAUAUUGCCACUUGUGAUAUGGACCUUUAUUAUGCAGUCUGUCGCUUUUAUUUCUUCCAUAUCACAAGCUCGUAUAAAACUUAUUUUCUUCACGGUAAUAGAUCAUACAUAUUUAGAGAGCAAUUUUUAUUGCUUGCACCGAUGACAACUUACUUGAAGGAUCUUACUCAAUCCAUAGGUAGGUAUGGUGGACUCUCAUGGCAAAACUGGGUUUAGGGAUGUUUGGAAGCACAAGUAGUAUCUCUACUUGGUGCAAAGAAUUUGGCUAACAUGAGGGGGAAAGGCAAGCUCAACAUGUUGGAUGAUCCAUGACAAUAUAACUUAUUAGGAUAUAAGGAAACAUAUCCCAUUACAUUUUCUUCCUUGUCCAACAUCAACUUUUUAGCAUGUCAUAUUUUAAUGAGCGCUCACAAUCAUAAAAGAUGUCCAAGAUAGUAUAUUUAUAUGUGAAAAUCUCUCUUUCUUUAUUACUUCCUAUUAAUUGCAACGAUGACCAAAACUAUGUUUGUCAACUCUCAACAACUUUUGUUCAUCAUACUCUUUAUAUGUGAAGUCAUUACUCUCCAUAAGAUCAAUAUGAUCUUUUUAUUUCUUUUUAUUCCUUCUUUUAUUCCCUCAAGAUCAUAGCAAGAUAGCAAAGCUCUCAACUCAAAACUAAUCUUUAUUAUAUAUAGCUCACGGACUCGAUUACAUAGAUAGAGAUCAAAACAAAACUCAAAGCUAGAUCAUACUAAAACUUUAUUCUAGUAGAUCAAGAUAUAACCAAAAGGAUCGAACUAAGAAAAACGGUAAAGAUAGAAGUGUGAUGGUGAUACGAUACCGGGGCGCCUCCCCGAAGCUUGGCAGUUGCCAAGGGGAGUGCCCAUUCCCAUGUGUUUAUGUCUCUUUCUUCGGAGGUGGUGAUGAUGGAGUUGUUGACCAUGUAGGCUUGUCGUCCAUCUUCCAAGGCAUAGGCUCACCAUCAUAGAAGGAUGGACGAGUCUCCGGGAUUCUCAAAUCUGCAGCCAAACUCAUCCUCUUGAAUCUAUAUUCAUACUCACAGUUUUGGUUUUGCAGGUCAUAGAUCUGGGCCUGGAGGUGCUCGAUUUUCUUGUGAAGCUUGAAGAUGGCCUCCCCGAUGUUCUUGGCAUCCAGCUUCUGGUUGUUGGUGAACUCCGCGAUCAUCAUAUGAUUGACAUUGAGUCCGCGUUCCACCAUCCCUUGGCACUUGAAAACUUGUUGCUCCAUUGCUUUGAGUCUUGUCUCCAUGCUUCCGGUCCUUCUCGGUCCCUCAACAUUGGGGAUGUGCAGCACCCCCUCACGCAUCUCAACGGUUUGAGGGUGUUGCAGCACCUCCGCGAGGUAAGGGUUGAUGACCUUCUCGAAAAACUAGUCCUUGGGGGCGUUUGGAGACAUCAUGGUGAUCUAGAUCUGUCAGAAAAACAUCUCGGAACAAAAGCAGAGGAUUUUGUCAUGGUACGGUGGUCAAAACCUUCGGGAGAUUAUAUAAUGAAUUUUUACUGACCAAAAGAAGUAUCGUGCAAGAAAACGGAGUCUGGAGGGCACAUGAGGUGGCCACGAGGCGGGGGGCAUGCCCAUGGGGGUAGGGCGCGCCCUCCACCCUCGUGGACGCCUCGUGUCUCUUUUAGACUACUUUUAAUUUUCCUAUUUUUUUAAAUAUUCCAAAAUGGCGAAAGUUGAUAUUUGAACAGUUUUGGAGUCGGUUUACUUACCAUACCACAUACCUAUUCCUUUUCGGAGUCUGAAACAUUCUGGAAAGUGUCCCUUGUGUACUCCUACGGGGUUACGGUGUCAAUGACAUUGGUUUCAACAUUUAUGGGAUUACCUGAGAUAUAAUGUUUGAUUCUUUGACUGUUUACCACCUUCGGAUUUGUGCCUUCGGCGUUGUUGAUUUUGAUGGCACCGAAACGAUAGACCUCCUCGAUAAUGUAAGGACCUUCCCAUUUAGAGAGAAGUUUUCCUGCAAAAAAUCUUAAACAAGAGUUGUAUAGCAAAACAUAAUCACCUACAUUAAACUCACGCUUUUGUAUCGUUUUGUAAUGCCAUCUUUUAACUUUUUCUUUAAACAAUUUGGCGUUCUUAUAGGCCUUGGUUCUCCAUUCAUCAAGUGAGCUAAUGUCAAAUAGCCUCUUCUCACUGGCAAGUUUGAAAUCAUAAUUGAGCUCUUUAAUGGCCCAAUAUGCCUUAUGUUCUAGUUCAAGAGGUAAGUGACAUGCUUUUCUAUAAACCAUUUUAUACGGAGACAUACCCAUAGGAUUUUUAUAUGCAGUUCUAUAAGCCCAUAAUGCAUCAUCAAGUUUAUAGGACCAAUUCUUUCUAGAUCUAUUAACAGUCUUUUCAAAAUCAAUUUAAUCUCUCUAUUACUCUAUUCUACUUGUCCACUAGACUGAGGAUGGUAUGGAGAUGCAAUUCUAUGAUUAACAUCAUACUUAGCAAGCAUUUUACGAAAAGCGCCAUGAGUAAAAUGUGAACCACCAUCAGUCAUUAAGUAUCUAGGGACUCCAAAUCUCGGAAAAAUAACUUCUUUAAGCAUCUUAAUAGAGGUGUUAUGAUCAACACUACUAGUUGGAAUAGCUUCUACCCACUUAGUAACAUAAUCAACAACAACUAAAAUAUGUGUAUACCCAUUAGAGGAAGGAAAAGGUCCCAUAUAAUCAAAGCCCCAAACAUCAAAUGGUUCAAUAACAAGUGAAUAAUUCAUAGGCAUUUCUUGUCAUCUACUAAUAUUACCAAUUCUUUGGCAUUCAUCGCAAGACAAGACAAACUUACGGGCAUCUUUGAAAAGAGUAGGCUAAUAAAAGCCGGAUUGCAAUACCUUAUGUGCAAUUCUAUCUCCAGUGUGGUAUCCUCCGUAAGCCUCAGAGUGACACUUGCGUAGGAUCUGUUCCUAUUCAUGCUCAGGUACAAAAUGUCUAAUAACACCAUAUACUCCUUUAUAAAGGUGUGGGUCAUCCCAAAAGUAAUGUCUUAAAUCAUAGAAAAACUUUUUCUUUUGCUGGUAUGUGAAACUAGGUGGUAUAAAUUUAGCAACAAUGUAAUUAGCAUAAUCAGCAUACCAUGGAGCAGUAUGAGAAGCAUUUACGACAGCUAAUUGUUCAUGAGGAAAGCUAUCAUCAAUAGGUAGUGGGUCAUCAAGAACAUUUUUUGACCUAGACAAGUUGUCUGCAACAUGAUUCUCAGCUCCCUUUCUAUCAAUAAUAAUAUGCAAAUCAAAUUCUUUUAGCAAGAGAACCCAUCUAAUAAGUCUAGGUUUAGCAUCUUUCUUUUCCAUAAGAUAUUUAAUAGCAGCAUGAUCGGUGUGAACAGUCACUUUGGAAUCAACAAUAUAAGGUCUGAACUUAUCACAAGCAAAUACGACUGCUAAAAAUUCUUUUUCAGUAGUAGCAUAAUUUCUCUGGGCACUGUCUAGAGUUUUACUAGCAUAUUGGAUAACAUUUAAUUUCUUAUCAACUCUUUGUCCUAGAACAGCACCAACAACAUAAUCACUACUAUCACACAUAAUUUCAAAGGGUAAAUUCCAAUCAGGUGGCUGAACAAUAGGUGCCGCAAUCAAGGCCUUCUUAAGUAUUUCAAAUGCUUCUACACAAUCAUCAUAAAAAACAAAAGGAACAUCUUUUUGUAAGAGAUUGGUCAGAGGCCUAGAAAUUUUAGAGAAGUCUUUAAUUAAACCUCCUAUAAAAACCAGCAUGACCAAGGAAACUUCUUAUACCUUUGAUAUCUUUAGGACACGGCAUCUUUUCAAUAGCAUCUACUUUAGCUUUAUCAACUUCAAUACCUCUUUCGGAAAUUUUAUGCCCCAAGACAAUACCUUCAUUAACCAUAAAGUGGCACUUCUCCCAAUUCAAGACAAGAUUAGUUUCUUCGCAUCUCUGCAAAACUCGAUCAAGGUUGCUUAAGAAAUCAUCAAAAGAAUUUCCGUAAACAGAGAAAUCAUCCUUGAAAACCUCAACAAUCUUUUCACAAAAGUCAGAGAAUAUAGCAGUCAUACAUCUUUGAAAGGUAGCAGGUGCAUUGCAUAAACCAAAAGGCAUAUGUCUAUAAGCAAAUGUACUAAAAGGGAAAGUAAAAGUGGUCUUUUCCUGAUCCUCUUUUGACACAGGUAUUUGGGAGAAACCAGAAUAACCAUCUAGAAAGCAAAAAUGUGUAUGUUUGGAUAAUCUUUCUAGCAUUUGAUCAAUAAAAGGUAAAGGGUAAUGAUCUUUUCUAAUAGCUUUAUUGAAUUUGCGGAAUCAAUUACUAUUCUAUAACAUGUAACAAUUGUUUGUGGGAUCAAUUCAUCCUUAUCAUUAGGAACAACAGUAAUACCUCCCUUCUUAGGGACACAAUGGACAUGACUUACCCACUGACUAUCAGCAAUAGGAUAAAUUAUACCUGCCUCUAGAAGCUUUAGUAUUUCAUUUCUUACCACUUCUUUUAUCUUAGGAUUUAACCGUCGUUGAUGAUCAACAACUGGUUCAGCAUCGUUCUCCAGUUUUAUUUUGUGCUGGCAUAGAGUGGGACUAAUGCCAUUAAGAUCAUCAAGAGUAUAUCCAAUAGCAGCAUGGUGCUUCUUCAGAGUUUUCAAUAAUUUCUCUUCUUCAUUCUCUGAAAGGUUAGCACCAAUAAUAACAGGAUAUAUCUUCUUUUCAUCAAGAUAAGCAUAUUUAAGAGUAUCGGGUAAUUGUUUAAGCUCAAACAUAGGAUCACCCUUGGGUGGAGGAGGAUCCCCUAGGAUUUCAAUAGGCAAGUUAUGUUUCAAAAUAGGUCCCUGUUUAAAGAAUACUUCGUCUAUUUCCCUUCUUUCAUUCAUAAACAUAUCAUUUUCAUGGUCUACCAAAUAUUGUUCUAUAGGAUCAUUAAGAGGCACAUCAAUAGAAGCAAGACCAAUAAUUUCAUCUUUACUAGGCAAUUCUUUAUCAUGGGGUUGUGUACGAAAUUUAGCAAAAUUAAAAUCAUGAGACAUAUCCCCUAGACCGACAGUAACAAUAUCCUUUUCGCUAUCUAUCUUAGCAUUAACAGUAUUCAAGAAGGGUCUACCAAAUAUAAUGGGACAAAAGUCAUCUUGUGGGGAACCAAGAACAAGAAAAUUAGUAGGGUAUUUAAUUUUCCCACACAAUACUUCAACAUCUCUAACAAUCCCAAUUGGUGAAAUAGUUUCUCUAUUGGCAAGCUUAAUUGUAACACCAAUACCUUCUAUUUCGACAGGUGCAAUAUCAUGCAUAAUUUCUUUGUAUAAGGAAUGAGUAUUGCACUCACACUAGCACCAAAAUACAUAAGCCAUGAUAACAAUGCUCUCCUAUUUUAACAGAAACAAUAGGCAUGCCAACAACAUGUCUAUGUUUAUUUUUAGUAUUAGGUUUGGCAAUUCUAGGAGCUUCAUCACAGAAAUAAAUAACAUGCCCAUCAAUAUUAUCGACCAAGAGAUCUUUAACCAUAGCAAUACUAGGUUCAACUUUAAUUUGCUCAGGGGGUGUAGGUUUUCUAGCAUUACUCUUACAAACCAUAGUUGAAGCUUUAGCAUGAUCCUUUAUUCUAACAGGAAAAGGUGGUUUCUCAAUAUAAGUAGUAGGAACAAUAGGAUCAACAUCAUAAGUAAUAGUUUUUUCUUCAACUUUAAUGGGUUCUACUACUUUCACUUCAAUGGGAGGAUGAUAUUUAAACUACUUCUCCUUAGGGAGAUCAACAUGAGUAGCAAAUGAUUCACAGAAAGAAGCUACUAUCUCAGAGUCAAGUCCAUAUUUAGUGCUAAAUUCACGAAAAGCAUCGGUAUCCAUAAAAGAUUUAACACAAUCAAACUUAGGGGUUAUACCUGACUCCUUACCUUCGUCGAGUUCCCAAUCUUCCGAGUUGCAUUUAUUUCUUUCCAAUAAAUCCCGUUUGAAUUCAAUAGUCUUCAUCAUAAAAGAACCAAUACAAGAAGUAUCGAGCAUGGAGCGAUCAUUAUGAGAAAGCUGAGCAUAAUUUUUUUUGAAUAAUAAUUUAUCUUGAGAGCUCAUGAUUGGGGCAUGAAUAUAACAUUGACUUAAGCCUCCCCCAAGCUUGAGUGAUACUUUCUCCUUCAUGAGGCCAAAAAUUAUAUAUAUAAUUACGAUCACGAUGAACCAGAUGCAUAGGAUAAAACUUCUGAUGAAAUUCCAAUUUCAAUCGGUUGUAGUUCCAUGAUCCAAUAUCAUCACAUAGCCUAAACCAUGUCAAUGCCUUUCCCUUCGAAGAUAAAGGGAAUACCUUCUUAUUGACAACAUCCUCGGGCAUACCUGCAAGCUUAAAUAAUCCACAAACUUCAUCCACAUAGAUUAGGUGCAUAUUGGGAUGUAAUGUUCCAUCUCCUGUAUAGGGAUUAGCUAGCAGUUUCUCUAUCAUGCCCGAAGGAAUUUCAAAGUAAAUAUUUUCAGUAGGUUCAGUAGGUUGAGGAGAAAAUCUUUGCUCUUAUGAUCAGGGUGAAGAUACCCCGAACAAGCCCCUCAAAGAUUAUUUUCCAUAGUAACAAGUGACAGUAAAUUUCAGCACACUAUAUAAUUGUUUCCUUACCAAAUUCCACCUACCAAAGGCGCUUCACUCCCCGGCAACGGCGCCAGAAAAGAGACUUGAUGACCCACAAGUAUAGGGGAUCUAUCGUAGUCCUUUCGAUAAGUAAGAGUGUCAAACCCAACGAGGAGCAGAAAGAAAUGACAAGCGGUUUUUAGUAAGGUAUUCUCUGCAAGCACUGAAAUUAUCGGUAACAGAUAGUUUUGUAAUAAGGUAAUUCGUAACGGGUAACAAGUAACAAUAGUAAAAAAGGUGCAGCAAGGUGGCCCAAUCCUUUUUGUAGCAAAUUACAAGCCUAUACAAACUCUUAUAUAAAGCAAAGCGCUCCCGAGGACACGUGGGAAUUACUGUUAAACUAGUUUUCAUCAUGCUCAUAUGGUUCGCGUUCAUUACUUUGAUAAUUUGAUACGUGGGUGGACCAGUGCUUGGGUAUUGCCCUUCCUUGGACAAGCAUCCCACUUAUGAUUAACCUCUCUCGCAAGCAUCCACAACUAUGAAAGAAGAAUUAAGGUAAACCUAACCAUAGCAUGAAACAUAUGGAUCCAAAUCAGCCCCUUACAAAGCAACACAUAAACUAGGGUUUAAGCUUCUGUCACUCUAGCAACCCAUCAUCUACUUAUUACUUCCCAAUCCUCCCCCUAGGCCCAAAUCAUGGUGAAGUGUCAUGUAGUCGACAUUCACAUAACACCACUAGAGGAGAGACAACAUACAUCUCAUCAAAAUAUCGAACGAAUACCCAAUUCACAUGAUUACUUAUAACAAGACUUCUCCCAUGUCCUCAGGAACAAAUGUAACUACUCCCAAAUCAUAUUCAUGUUCAUAAUCAGAGGGGUAUUAAUAUGCAUUAAUGAUCUGAACAUAUGAUCUUCCAUCGAAUAAACCAACUAGCAUCAACUACAAGGAGUAAUCAACACUACUAGCAACCCACAGGCACCAAUCUGAGGUUUUGAGACAAAGAUCGGAUACAAGAGAUGAACUGGGGUUUGAGAACAGAUGGUGCUGGUGAAUAUGUUGAUGGAGAUUGACCCCCUUCGUGAGGCACCAAUGGACCCAUAGGUCUACAAAGAACUACUCACGCAUCAUCGAAGAGGCACCAAUGGACAUGAUGAACCCCUUCGUGAUGGUGUCUAGAUUGGAUCUGGUGUUCCUGGAACUGGAGGCGGCUGGAAUUGAUUUUCGUCGACUCUCCUAGUGUUCUGGAAUAUUGGGGUAUUUAUAGAGCAAAGAGGCGGUGCUGGAGGCCACCAUGGUGGGCGUAACCCACCGGGGCACGCCUAGGCCUCUAGGUGUGCCCUGGUGUCUUGUGCUCACCAAGGGACGACCCUCUUAUACUUCUUUGGCCCACUGGAUGUAUUUUGGUCCAAAAAAAAUCCACAAAAAGUUUUGCUGGCGUUUGGACUCUAUUUGGUAUUGAUUUCAUGCGAUGUAAAAAACAAGCAGAAAACAACAACUGGCACUGGGCACUAUGUCAAUAGAUUAGUACCAAAAAAUGAUAUAAAAUGAUUGUAAAACAUCCAAGAAUGAUAAUAUAACAACAUGGAAAAAUCAGAAAUUAUAGAUACAUUGGGGACGUAUCAAGAGGUUAGCACACUAUACCCACACCACGGAACCCAUGGCCUCGCACUCCCAUUCGGGUGGACCAAUGACGUUCUGACAAAACUGAUCUAUUGCCCAUGACACUCUCCUAGCCACUCCGACUAACUCACCUCUAGGCUAGGUCUUGGGUGGCCCCGAUGUCAACCAAUGACAUCCAACGGCCACCAUUGUGGCAAAACAUAAGCGGUCCCAAUCAGGGACAAGAGAUCUCAAUACCAACUACGGGCACACAAGGUUAUGUCUGCUUACAGGGCCAGGCUAACGCACGCCCAUAACCUUCCCUCACUGAGGCACCGAUGAGAGACAUGACAAUAGACCGCAUUAGGGCCUUCCCAUAAAGGCAAAUGUGGUUGCAUAGGAAAAGCCUAGUUCAGUGGCGCCUGACCAACUUAAUGAGAAAAUUUAUCCCUAAAAUAUAACUGAUACUCCAAUAUCAUAUAUCCACCAGUAAACCAAGUCAUAAAAAUAUCCAACACACAAUCCAGAGAAUAAUAUAGACAUAACCUAAUACUCCGAAGGUAGCAUAAACACUAAGAGCAUGCUGAAUCCAAGAACGAUAAUACUACUAAUCCCAUAGCAAGAACGAGCUAUCCAGCUAAGAUCCACAUGCAAGAAUCAUCUACGAAAAUAAUACUCCAAAGCAACAUACCAACUACCAUCAUGAUAAUAAUCAUACUAGCCACUAAUAAUCCAAUGGCAACAUAUCAUCCAUCAACUGCAAGCAUAUAUCCUAGUAAUCCAAACAGUAGCAUGGCAAUAGCAAGAUUAAAAACAACUCUGAGAAAUGCCAUGCACACAGUCAUGUCGCUAAAGCAAUAUUUUAAACAAGUUCAAAUAAGUAAACCAUGUCACUGCAUUGCAAUCAUGUAAAUGGAGGUUGUGGCUUGCCUGGGAGGGGUGGAAUCACUGGAAAGAAGUGCGAGUAACUUGCGGAAAGAAUUGCCGGAAAAGUUUCUCUCUCGAAAAGGAUGAAUAAGGGCAAGGGCAAAAUGGUCAUUUUCAGAAUGUUAAAACAUGGUGAAAAUGAUUCCAUCGUAACGGGCUUGACAAAAUGAAGAAGUGGGCUUUGGAAUCACCUUAUCUGGAGUUAUGGUUGAAGAGUUAUGAUUGUUUUUCUACCAGGGACCUAUUUUAAUAAAAUCCUCACAAACAUGCCCUUGACUGAAAAAACAGAAAGGACACUAUCACAGAAUACGCUUUUAGAGAAUUGAAAACACAUUGCUGGCCAAAGGAGAUCAUUUCGGGAAAGGGAGACGUAUUCGGGCGAAUACGACUCCACUUAUCCACGCUGGUAGGGAGGGGUCAACGCCCGUGCAACUGCUAGGUGGGGUCUGCGGGAGGUGGGAUCCUCCUGUCAUCGGCUUCUACCUCUGUCGCCCGCGUGCGGCCGGGGGAGCAGCGGGCUCUGGUGAGGCUAGCCGGCGACUCCGGUCACCGCUCGUGAAGCACGGCCUACUAGCAUGCUCAAGGGGCGAGCCGCACCCGCCUGUGGGUAGUACGGGCGCUGGGGAGGUUGGAGGCGAGCAUGACUUCUACGCUGGCGGACGACAAUGUUGGGCGUCGGCUGUCUUGGCGCUCCGGUCCUCCAGCGAAGAGGGCGAAGAGAAGGGGAGGCUCAGCAUGCUCCGGGCGGUCGUCUGGCGGUGGAGAGAAGGAAGGAGGAGCUCGGCGUCGAGCCAAUUUAGGCCAAGGUUGAGGCGGGCACGACGAACAUGGGGGAGGAAGAUGGGACUCCGGCAAGGAUUUGCUGGGUUUGGGAGGUGUAGAAGGGAGUGGGGAGGCUGAUGGCAAAGGGAAACGACACCGGGGUGGCCUUAUAUAGCCAGAGCAAGGUGGUGCCGCACUGGCGUCGCCGUGGACACGUGGCCGGCGCCGCAGACGCGUGGGCACGCAUGUGAGUUCGGCGGUUGGCAAUGAGAGGGAACAGGGAGGAGCUCACGGGGUAGAGGGGGCCAAGGGACACGGGGAGGAAGAUGCCAUGGCGAGCUCAAAGCCAAACCGAGCACAGUGCGCCCGUGGUGCUCGGCGGAUAGCUCCGACAAGGAAGCGGAUGGAGGGGGAGAGGGGUCCAGGGGGGCGGCGACGAGGAGGAGAAGAUAUUGGACAUGGUCACACGUGCGAAGACGACGAGAGGAAGAGAGGCCGGAGAUAGGCGACAUCUUGGACGCAGCCACAACGAGCAGAGCACGUGAAUUGGCAUGCCACCUGCAUGGUCACCAUGCGAUACGGCAAAGAGAGGUCACGAGAGGAGGGGAAACCGUGUCUAGCAUUAUGUUCUUCCAAGAUGGAACAUUAAUGAGUCUAUGGCUGGGUCUGAGGUGAUCUGGUUAAAUGGUAGUCAUUGUCUAAAGUUUGAUGUAACAAACUUGGCUGUGCACUGGUGAUCAACAGGGAAUAGAUAAGGGCCAAAUAAGUUGUCUGGGGUGAUUAUCUAAGGAAAGACUACGAUCUUGGAGGUUUUGAGGAUAAUUGGAUCACAAAUGAACAAGAUUGCUUUGCAAGUGCAUAAUUGGUCCAGAAAAUGAGAUUUGGUUGAUGCACUUACAUAGAGAAGCAACUUGGGCUGAAAUUUGGCAAGGCAGGGUUAUUUGGCCAUAUGAAGAUGCUUUAAAAAUCUCAUACCAAAUGGACUUGUCAAAAUGGUACUUGUUUCACAAACAUCUCCUCCGUCCAGAAACUUGCAAUAAUUUUGGGGGCAAAAUGGCUUAAUGAAAUGGCCUCAAACUAGGUGGAGAGAUGUUAUAUAGAUAAGAGCAUGAUCUGGUAAUUUUUCAGAAUUAAUGAAGCAAUAUAAAUUAUACUUGCUUCACAACCUGAAAAUAUCAACAUAAUCAAAGAUUUGAAGUUGUGCUCACAUAAGUGAUUGUAUGGGGCUAAAAAUUGGAGGAGGGUAAUGAUAUGAGCACAUGAAGAGGCAAGCACAGUUUCAACUCAUUUGGAUACUCCUAGCUUGUAGUUCCUUCACAAUGGCUUCUGUUUGACAAAAACUUUGAAAAAUCACUAAGGAAGAUUUACUAGGCAAAUAAAGUGGAAUUUUGGCACGAGGCAAUUAUUUGGUCAUGAAAGAAUUCCCAAAAAGUUUGGGGGCAAACAAGAUAGGAUAAAUGGCACUUCCUUCACAAAAUGCCAUUCAGGAUAGAAUGGAAGCAUGAAUAUUGGAGGAAUAUUUUUGAACUGGCCAAGGAAGGAUUUGGGCAUAUUUGAGCAAUAUAUGACCCAAAGAAAUUAUGAGAAUUAUUUGGGAAUUUUUGGAUGGACAGAAAUAUAGGUUGCUUCACAACCUAGGGCAAAUAGGAGAAUUCCUUUAAUAGAAAAGGAAUAUUCCCAAUAAAGGAAUAUUGGGAUUUGGGCUAGGAUGGAAAUGGCAUGGUCUUGGGAUGAUUUUGAGAAUGAUGAACCACUUGGGAGAAGAGGAAAUGAUGAUCUCCCAGGUUUCAAGUCCACAGAUCCACUCCAAAAGAAAAACAGAGCAAAACCAAAUAAACCAAAAAGAAAAAAGAAAGGGGCCAAAAACCAGGUUGUCACAAACCUCCCCCCCUUAAAGAAAUCUCAUCCUUGAGAUUUGGUUGCCCAGGGAACAAAUAUAAACAUACCUUAAGGAAACUGUUUCCAACUCGGGUAUCCUUUUCCUUUGUUUGUUGUUCCCCUAAGAAUUUAUUAAGAUCUGCUUACUCUGCUCUGGGAUGGUUUGCUUCACCUUUCCCAAAUUUUGACGGGUCUUUCCUCAUAUACCAAAGUCUUAUGCUGAACUUGACACUCUCUUAUCUACGGGUGAUAUUUUGAGCAUGACUUUCAUUUGGUCAGGAAAAACCUUUUACAUAGGCCAUUAGGUUGUCCAAACAAUCACAUGCCUUCUGGGUUCAAACAAUACUCUUAAACCUUACGUUGUUGCAGGUCCUCUCAUAAAUAAAUCAAGCAGGCCGGCUGGCAAUCGGGUAGAUCCAUAUGUUCUAAGGGGGGGGGCUUUCUCCUCCUCAGUAGGUGCAAACCCUGGUUCUGUAAAUGAUUAUAACUGCCUUGGAGCUAGAUAAGCAAACCUUAUUCUGUUUGAGUAUGAUGGAUGUUACACACACUGCCAGAUACAAGCAAAAGCUUUCCAGCUAAGCUAGGAGUCAGAACGAACUCAUGAAGCUAUCCUUCUUCUUGCAUCUCAAGAUUCAAAUGGAAUUUUAUGCUGGGAAAUAAACUACCAAUUAGGGAAUGCGCAUCUCUAUUUCUGGAAUUCUUUGGUCUAGGCAAUCCAAAAGCGUGAAUCAUGGCCACUCUUCUGACGAGAUCCGACUGCCCAACAGAGAUACCGACUCUUGAUUUGCUACUUUGGCUUGAGCAUGAGAUAUUUACCAAAGUUUCGACUACCUUUAGUCACGGGUAAUACAAUGGAGUAUGGGCUUAUAGUUGUAUCAUACCUCAAACUAUAGCAUCUUGAGACUCGCCUGAUAGGGUGCUGGCUGGAAGAUACUUUUCAUGGCAGGUUGUUUGUGUACUUGAUUCUGUCAAUGAGUAUACUGGGUCUGGGCUGAUUGUUUUGGCUUUUGAUUUACCCAUGUUGUCGGUACACUCAUUUGUGGUAAUAAGCUGUGAGAUGCUUCAACACUGGCAUUGAAUUCAAACUAUUGAGGUUGCAAAGAAAUCUUGGAUCUGACUGAACAGACUUGGAUAUUCCACACUAACCAUUUUGGGUAGGUGCCAUGGGACAAGCAGGUCGGCGGAAUAUGAAGUCCUUGUACAACAGUAGGCUUUGGAGGGUAUGUCUUUGUGGAUCCAUAUGGAAUAAUGGCCCUCAACUGACUUGGGUAUCCAAACCCUGAUGGUAGUGAGAAAAUAAUUAUACCCUUGCUGUCAGUCUCAUCCUUUGACUGUCAUGAUUUUCUUUGUUAGUAUACCUUACUGAAAUAGUUUGGCCACAUAUGUUCUCGAUUCCUCGUAUGAGCAUGAAUGUGGUUAGUGCAAUAUUUUUGGAAUUAUUCCCUGUGCCUACUUUAUGACCUGGGUCCGCGCAUAUAUGAUAGGUGCUUGGGGCUUGUAGCUAUAUAGAGCUCAUUAUUGAGGCCAUUCAUACAAGAGGGUGACAAGGUUUCAUAAGAUUUCCUUGUCAGGUGCGGGGAUAAUGACCUUGGAAGUCGGUGUCCAGACUGUUGAUGUUGCGUUAUUGGCCUUGGCACUCGUCGAUUCUUGCACCACAUGAGGUGUAUCUCUGCUCAUCUUCAUUGGGAAUGACUCAUGAGUUUGUUGGAUCCUUACCUAUCUUAGGUAUAUCUGCUUGAUCAUUGUCGUAUCUCGUAUGAGUGACUAUUGUGACCGGGGUUGCAUGCUCACCAUAUGUAGGAACAAUAUGCCACCGAACACUCGAUUCUUGCGGUAGGCAUAUGUCUUGACUGAUUUGUACUUCUGACAGAAAUAUUGUUGAUCUGAUUCUUGAGAUGCACCGUCAUAUACUGCCAACUCACCGUAUAAUCUCUGAGGACGGUGCAAUAGUGUGGUACUGACGUGGACCGAGUGGCUUACAAGAGAAGCCAUUCGAGUAGCUUGCUGAGGAAGUCUCGAUUGCUUUUGCUCGAAGAUUUGGUCUGCGUAGCAUGCAGAAGAAGCUUGAUAGCUUAUAGAGGAAUCUUAACCUUUGUAUCGUGCUGGAGAUGUCUGGGUUCCGUACUCGAGAAGCUUCUCCUCAGGUUGCUUGUUGAGGAAGAAUUAGUUCCUUACAUCAGAAACUUUUACCGAGGUAUCUUGCAUUGGAAGACUAGGUAUCUUGGACAAGAAGCAAUCCAUGUAUCGUACUGAAAAAUCUUGAGGAGCCUUGCAUCAUAAGUUGCUUCCGAAAGCAUGUGGAGGAAGACUGAGUUUCUCAUAUCCAACUUUUCAUACUGUGAUAUACUGACUAAGAACCAUACACCCACCCAUAAUAUUCCGUGUUGGGUUACUUGCAUGAUAAAAUUAUUUGAUUGUCUUCCUUGAUCAUAGCUCAUUCUGGCUUUCCUUCUGAAAUAUAGCAUAGUUCCAAUUGCAUUCAUAGAUGAAUCAGACUUUGUAUAUAAAUCAUACCUUUGACUGGGAAUAUUCCAUUGGUCUUGUGCUUGCCUUAUCUUCUUGCUGUUUUGAUCAUUAUUUCUACGAAAGGGGCAUAACAGUAUGCAGACUUGCUCUUGAUAUUCGAUUAGGGAAACCAUUUAUAUACUGAGCAGAUAUUCCCAACAUAAUGCAGUCAACUUAGAAUCCCAUACUGUUUAGCUGAGCUUCCAUAUCUUUUCUAUCUUUGCUGCUUCUUCGAGUUCAGCGUCGGUUGAUGAACAACUCUUUAUAGGGAAAAAAUAAUGUAACACUGGGGCCCAAAAAGAAGCAAAUAAAACAAUUCAACUAAACAAAGGGGUAAAAAGGCAUACAAACCACACACAAACAAUAUCACAUGUAUGCUAUCCACACAAUAUGCACACCUACUUAAGCACACAAAUCUCGUGAAGUCUCCGGUACUGCAAUCUAACAUGCUAUGGCGAUGUGCACGAGGACAAAACAAUGUGUGGAAAAGUUGGUGUAAACAUUGCUACACCAAGUGUUAGCUUAGCCAGGUAACAACCUUGACUAGCUCGGAGGCGAGGACGUACUCGGUAACCAUAUAGCGGAACACGAAUGUCGCAACCACAUUAUUAUCAAGCAGACGGAAGGGAUUCAUACUCGUCCACGGAAUAGGACAGCAAGGAAAGUUGAGUCGGCUGACAUUGCCCUUUAAUGAUGACGAAGAUCAUUAAGGGUUGCCAACGCGACAAAGAGGCAUGUUUCGGGGCAGCAGCCUGUCUACCACCGAAACAAUAGGGAUAGCUGGAAGGAAGAGAUCGGUGUGAUACCUGAGCACCAUUUUCUGCAAACAGUGUCAGGAUCACUUGGCAUCACUCUAUUGGGACAGAAAUGACAUCAAACACCCAAGAAAAAGGGAAACUCGAGGAAUGCAGAAGCUGAGCUAUAGUGGAUCAAGAUCUGAUGCCAGCUACACUCACCAGAUAAAACCGUUAGCAGCAAAUACUAAGGCUAUAUGCAUGCUAUGCAACAACCAAAUGCAACAAACAAGGCAGACUCUAUACUGCCGAUUACUACCGCUCGCACUAACUAGGGCAUCCUACAACCACACCUGCUUUGAUACAAAGCCUAUGGCAUAAUGCCUGCUUGAACUAUGUCGGUAUUUCCCCAAAGAGGAAGGGAUGAUGCAUCACAGUGACGGUAGGUAUUUCCCUUAGUGAUGAGACCAAGGUUAUCGAACUAGUAGGAGAACCAAGCAACAUAACGUAAACAUCCCCUGCACACAAAUAACAAAUACUCGCAACCCGGCGUGUUAAAGGGGUUGUCAAUCCCUUUCGGGUAAUAGUGCCUCAAAUUGGCGAGAAGAUGUGAUAAAGUUGUGAUAGAUAGGAAAAAUAGAUCACAAACAAAAUAAAGUGCAACAAGGUACUUUUGUAUUUUUGGUUUAAUAGAUCUGAAAAUAAAAGCAAAGGAAAAAGAUUGCAAAGGCAAAUAUGAUGAGAAGAGACACGGGGCCCGUAGGUUUCACUAGUGGCUUCUCUCGAGAACAAUAUCAAACGGUGGGAAAACAAUUACUGUUGGGCAAUUGAUAGAACUUCAAAUAAUCAUGACGAUAUCCAGGCAAUGAUCAUCAUAUAGGCAUCACAUCCAAGAUUAGUAGACCGACUCCUGCCUGCAUCUACUACUAUUACUCCACACAUCGACCGCAACCCAGCAUGCAUCUAGUGUAUUAAGUUCAUGGAAAAACGUAGUAAUGCAAUAAGAACGAUUACAUGAUGUAGACAAGAUCUAUUUAUGUAGAAAUAGACCCCAUCUUGUUAUCCUUAAUAGCAAAAAUACAUACGUGUCGUUUCCCCUUCUGUCACUGGGAUCAAGCACCGUAAGAUCGAAACCAUCACAAAUCACCUUUUCCCAUUGCAAGAUAAAUAGAUCAAGUUGGCCAAACAAAACCCAAAUAUCGGAGAAGAAAUAUGAGGCUAUAAGCAAUCAUGCAUAUAAGAGAUCAAAGAAUACUCAAAUAAACUCAAAUAACUUUCAUGGAUAAAAACAUAGAUCUGAUCAUAAAAUCAAAGUUCAUCGGAUCCCAACAAACACACCGCAAAAAGACUUACAUCAUAUGGAUCUCCAAGAGACCAUUGUAUUGAGAAUCAAGAGAGAGAGAGAGAGGAAGCCAUCUAGCUACUAACUACAGACCCAUAGGUCUAUAAAGAACUACUCACGCAUCAUCGGAGAGGCACCAAUGGACAUGAUGAACCCCUCUGAGAUGGUGUCUAGAUUGGAUAUGGUGUUUCUGGAACUUGUGGCAGCUGGAAUUGAUUUUCGUCGACUCCCCUAGGGUUUCUGGAAUAUUGGGGUAUUUAUAGAGCAAAGAGGCGGUGCAGGAGGCCAUUGAGGUGGGCACAACCUACCUAGGCACGCCUAGGCAGGCGCGCCCAGGUGGGUUGUGCUCCCUCAGAGCUCCCCUCAGGUACUUUCUUGGCCCACUGGAUUUCUUCUGGUCCAAAAAAGUCCACAAAAAAUAUCGUUGCGUUUGGACUCCGUUUGAUAUUGAUUUCAUGCAAUGUAAAAAACAAGCAGAAAACAGCAACAAGCACUGGGCACUAUGUCAAUAGGUUAGUACCAAAAAAUGAUAUAAAAUGACUAUAAAAUGAUUGUAAAACAUCCAAGAAUGAUAAUAUAACAACAUGGAACAAUAAAAAAUUAUAGAUACGUUGGAGACGUAUUAACAUCCCCAAACUUAAUUCCUGCUCGUCCUCGAGUAGGUAAAUGAUAAAAGCAGAUUUUUUGAUGUGGAAUGCUGCCUAACAUGUUCAUCACAUAAUCUUUCCUUUGUAGCAUGGACAUUUGUACAUUUAUAUGGUUCAAAGCAAUAGUCUAGUUUCAACAUGAAGACUUUAAUACUCAAGCACACCAACAAGCAACCAUGUCUUUCAAGAUAUCAACACUAAAACAAGUUAUCCCUAGCCCAUUAUGCUCAACCAUUGAUCCAUUCAUGAAACACACUCGAAUAUUAGCUACACCCAAUGCUCAAAUAUGAUCAUAGUGCCCCUUAGUUGGUGCUUUAUAAGAGAAGAUGAAGACUCAAAUUCAAAAUAAAAAUUGCAUAAAGUAAAAGAAAGGCCCUUCGCAGAGGGAAGUAGGGAUUUGUAGAGGUGCCAGAGCUCAAUGCGAAAAUUGAGAGAUAAAAACAUUUUGGGAGGCAUACUUUUCCCACCUACGAAAACGGCUUAGAGCUCCCAACACUUUCCAUGCUAGAUACAUCAUAGGCGGUUCCCAAACAAAAAAUAAAGUUUAUUCCUUUUUCCAUCAUACUUUCACUUUCCAUGGCUAACCGUAUCUAUGGGUGCCCUCCAUACCAACACUUCCCAAGGAAUUUAUUAUUUGACAACAUAAAGUAAAUUCAUUUUUCAUUUCGGGACUGGGCAUCCCUAAUACCUUUGCCGUACUCUUGUGCAAUGACAAGUGAAUAAACACUCAUCAUGAGAAUAACACAUCUAGCAUGGAAAAUAUUGGCCACCCCUCACCGCCUCGUGAGCGGUACGAGCACACAAAAGAGAAAUUUAUUUUGAAAAUUAGAGAUGGCACAUGCAAUUUUUCUUAAAACGGCACGAAAAUACCACAUAUAGGUAGGUAUAGUGGACUCAUAUGGCAAAACUAGUUUAAAAGGUUUUGGAUGCACAAGUAGUGAUCAUAUUUAGUGCAAAACGAAGGCUAGCAAAAAGAUUGAGAAGCGACCAACCAAGAAACGAAAAAUCUCGUACCCAAGCAUUAAGCAUAACUAACACCGAAUAAUGCACCACAAGUAGGAUAUAAAUUUCAUUGCAUAACUAUUGACUUUCGUGCUUGCAUAAGGAAAUCACAAACCUUAACACCAAUAUUCUAACUAAAGCACAAUUACUCAUCAACAUGACUCACAUAUCAUAUCGUCAUAUCUCAAAACCAUUACUAAGCAUCAAGUUUAUUUUGUCCAAUGAUCAUCAUGAAAGUUUUUAUUAUAUCCUCCUUGGAUAUCUAUCACUUCGGGACUAGUUUCAUAUGUUGCCUUUGAUAAGCUCAAACAAAUAUAAGUGAAGAACAUGAGCAUAAUAUUUCUUUCUCUCAAGAUAAUCUAAGUGAAGCAAGAGAGUAUUUCUUAAAAAAAUUACUAACUCCCAAAUAAAUCUAAGUGAAGCAUAAGAGCAUUUCUUCAAAAAUAACAAAGCACAUCGUGCUCAAAAAUAGGAAGCCAUCUAGCUACUAACUACGAACCCGUAGGUCUACAAAGAACUACUCACUGGAGAGGCACCAAUGGACAUGAUGAACCCCUCUGAGAUGGUGUCUAGAUUGGAUCUGGUGUUUCUGGAACUUGCGGCGGCUGGAUUUUCGUCGACUCUCCUAGGGUUUCUGGUAUAUUGGGGUAUUUAUAGAGCAAAGAGGCGGUGUGGGAGGCCACCGAGGUGGGCACAACCCACCUGGGCGCGCCUGGGCCUCCGGGCAUGCCCUGGUGGGUUGUGCUCCCCUCGGAGCUCCCCUCAAGUACUUUCUUGGCCCACUGGAUGUCUUCUGGUCCAAAAAAAUCCACAAAAAGUUUCGCUGCAUGUGAACUCCGUUUGAUAUUGAUUUCCUGCGAUGUAAAAAACAAGGGUCUUUUACAUCUGUGUCCCUAACUUGAACCCACUACUCACAUUUGCCCCUAAUUCGAAAGCCUGCUCAAAAAUGCCCCUCCGCCAUUAGGUGCCCUUACAGAAAUAUCCUUCCGCUCCGUUUUCGUCUGGUCAAAGGGGUUUGACCGUUUACGGGGCGUUUACUGGACAUUUUGCCCCUCUAUUCACUUGUCACUUACACAUGGGACCUGCCCUAGGAAAAAAACUCUAGCUUAUCCCCUCUCUCUCACUUACUAAAAAAACUCUCUCACUCCUUGACAUGUGGGCCAGGGACCCACUUGCAUGGUCAACAUGCUCCGAAGCGAGGCUAGGCUCGGCUCGCGUGGAUCAGCCGGUGGCCGUCGCCGGCGAGAGGCGGCGCGCCUGCAAGUGAAGACCAAGGGGACGGGCUCCGGGUGGUCUGUCGAAGGAUUUGCAGGUGGUGGUCAAGAUGGAUGUCGGCGGGCAGCGAAGGCAUGCACGGGAGUGCCUGAGACAUUCUGCGGAGGACGCCGUCGCCGCCGUCGCGGUCAGAGGCUAGAUCGAGACCAAAGAGCAUGCCCUUGAACCCUGCUGGACGCCUCGCCUCUGCCCAGCACGGUGAAUCGGGCCUAUGGUCGCGUGUAGAUGAUGGCAGAGACUCCGAUCUCCGCCACAGAUGCGCCCUUGGCCUCCUAAAUCCGACUGCCCCGAGCCACCAUUGACCUUCCCGACGUCCGUGUCAUUGUCCCUGAAAUCACGCGGCCCUACUCCUCUCUUCCCCCGCUCGAUUUUGUUCCCGGAGCGCCCUGUCCGAAGCCGGCCGCCAUGACCGACCUCGACUGGCUUGGUCGUGUGCACGCGCCCACCUACCUACCUGUGCGGCGGCUCCACCCCUCCGUCGGACGACCCCGAGCCUCCCACCAUGGCCCUCACACACCGGCGCACUAUCCUUCGCCGACGGCGACCACCGGCCGAUCCGCCAAGCCUCGCCGUGACCACGAGCAAACAAGAGUUGACCCUGACAGUGGGUCCAAUGGCCCACAUGUCAGGGAGAGAGAGGGGGGGUUAUGAGAGAGGUAGACAAUUUUUUUUAAUAUUGGUGGGCUCCACGUGUAAGUCAGAGAUGGGAUGAGGGAGAGGGAGUUUUUUUUCUUUUCUUUUCCUAGGUAGGUGCCACGUGUAACUGGGAUGUGCACAGAGGGGCAAAAAUGUCGAGAAAACGUGAGGAAAACGGUCAAAGGCCUUUGACCUGACGGAAAUGGCAUGGAGGGGCAUUUCUGUAAGGGCACAUAACGGCGGAGGGGCAUUUUUGAGCAGGCUUUGGAAUUAGGGGUAUAUCUGAUUAGGUGGUUCGAGUUAGGGACAGAAAUGCAAAUGGCCCAAAAAACAAGUAGAAAACAACAACUGGCACUGGGCACUAUGUCAAUAGCUUAGUACCAAAAAAUGAUAUAUAAUGACUAUAAAAUGAUUGUAAAACAUCCAAGAAUGAUAAUAUAAUAGCAUGGAACAAUAAAAAAUUAUAGAUACAUUGGAGACGUAUCAUGGCACCCCGGCUCAGAGAGACCGGAAAGCCCCGUAUUCCAGCCCAGCGAUCAAGGAGAAGUCUUUUGGAAUACGACACUGCUUGACAUAGAACAAAUCAGGUCUUAUACAAAGGAUAAAUACAAGGGUCUGAUGUUACAAAGGAUCACAUCAGCGCGGCGACACUACCCCCAUGAUACUACACUUGCUCUAUGCUAGAAGCAAAACAACUCGUAGCAGCGGAAAUCUUCUAGCAGCGAAACAACGACGAAGGUGGUGAACUCCACCCCGCAGGGACUCUGGCUGGGACGCGAUCUAGCUCGCACAAUCGGUAACCUUGACAAGCAAUCAAUCAAUCAUGGCAUCACCUGCAAUAUGGCAUGACAUGCCAGGUCAGUACAUUGAAUGUACUUGCAAGCUCACAACAACCAAAAGCAUCAAGGCAAAACAACAUAGCAUUUAACACGUUAAUUAAUUAACUACUACCAGAAUGUGGAAACAAUAACUAAGCAUGAUAUACAACUACUAGAAUACAGAUGAAUCACCAUAUCAGAUCUCAACACCCAUCUCACUCUUGGCUAUCCGGCCAAGCAAUAUCCCAUCUCGAUCACCUCAUGAUCCACAUGAUCACCCCGUGAUAAAAACAUCCACAUGAUCACCUCGCGAUCAAAACAUCCACAUGAUCACCUCGUGAUCAAAACAUCCACAUGAUUGAUACGACUCCAACGUAUCUACUUUUCCAAACUCUUUUGCCCUUGUUUUGGACUCUAAUUUGCAUGAUUUGAAUGGAACUAACCCGUACUGAUGCUGUUUUCAGCAGAAUUGCCAUGGUGUUAUUUCUGUACAGAAAUAAAAGUUCUCGGAAUGACCUGAAACUUCACAGAGACACUUUUUGGAAUUAAUAAAAAUACUGGUGAAAGAAUUAGCUGAAGGGAUCCCACACCCUGGCCACGAGGGUGGGGGCGCGCCCUACCCCCCUGGGCGUGCCCGCUACCUCGUGCCCCCCUGGACCUCUACUGACCUCCACUCCAACUCCAUAUUUUCAUGUUCAGGGAGAAAAAAAACCAGGGAGAAGGAUUCAUCGUGUUUUAUGAUACGGAGCCGCCGCCAAGCCCUGUUCUUUCUUGCGAGGGCUGAUCUGGAGUCCGUUCGGGGCUCUGGAGAGGGGAAUCCGUCGCCAUCGUCAUCGUCAACCAUCCUCCAUCACUAAUUUCAUGAUGCUCACCACCGUGCGUGUGUAAUCCCAUUGUAGGCUUGCUAGACGGUGAUGGAUUGGAUGGGAUUUACCAUGUAAUCGAGUUAGUUUUGUUAGGGUUUGGUCCCUAGUAUCCAUUAUGUUCUAAGAUUGAUGUUGCUAUGACUUUGCCAUGCUUAAUGCUUGUCACUAGGGCCUGAGUGCCAUGAUUUCAGAUCUGAACCUAUUAUGUUUUCAUGAAUAUAUGAGUGUUCUUGAUCCUAUCUUGCAAGUUGUAGUGACCUACUACAUGUUAUGAUCCGACAACCCCGGAGUGACAAUAGUCGGGACACUUCCCGGUGAUUACCGUAGUUUGAGGAGUUCAUGUAUUCACUAAGUGGUAAUGCUUUGGUCCGGUUCUCUAUUAAAAGGAGGCCUUAAUAUCCCUUAGUUUCGAAUAGGACCCCACUGCCACGGGAGGGUAGGACAAAAGAUGUCAUGCAAGUUCUUUUCCAUAAGCGCGUAUGACUAUAUUUGGAAUACAUGCCUACAUUAUAUUGAUGAAAUGGAGCUAGUUUUGUGUCACCCUAUGUUAUAACUGUUGCAUGAUGAAUACCAUCCGACAUAAUUAUCCAUCAUUGAUCCAUUGCCUACGAGCUCGUUUCAUAUUGGUCUUUGCUAAGUAAGUUCUCCGUUGCCACUGUUACGAUUGCUACAAAACUGCUGAAAGAUCGUGGAUGUCGCCUAGAGGGGGGGAGGGUGAAUAGGCGCUUUAAAAUAAUUACGGUUUAGGCUUGAACAAAUGCGGAAUAAACCUAGCGGUUAAUUUGUCAAGCACAAAACCUACAACAACUAAGCUCACCUAUGUGCACCAACAACUUAUACUAAGGAAGAUAAACAACUAAGUGAUAGCAAGGUAUAUGAUAGGAAACAAUAUGGCUAUCACAAAGUAAAGUGCAUAAGUAAAGGGCUCGGGUAAGAGAUAACCGAGGCACGCGGAGACGAUGAUGUAUCCCGAAGUUCGCACCCUUGCGGAUGCUAAUCUCUGUUUGGAGCGGUGUGGAGGCACAAUGCUCCCCAAGAAGCCACUAGGGCCACCGUAAUCUCCUCACGCCCUCGCACAAUGCAAGAUGCCGUGAUUCCACUAAGGGACCCUUGAGGGCGGUCACCGAACCCGUACAAAUGGCAACCCUUGGGGGCGGUCACCAAACCCGUACACUUUGGUAACCCUUGGGGGCGGUCACCGGUACCCGUCAAAUUGCUCGGGACGAUCUCCACAACCUAAUUGGAGACCCCGACGCUUUCCCAGAGCUUUACACCACAAUGAUUGAGCUCCAAACAACACCAACCGUCUAGGGCGCCAAGGCACCCAAGAGGAACAAGCUCUAGGGUGCCCAAACACCCAAGAGUAAUAAGCUUCUUAAACUUCACUUCCACGUAUCACUGUGGAGAACUCAAAUCGAUGCACCAAAUGCAAUGGCAAGGGCACACAGAGUGCCCAAGUCCUUCUCUCCCAAAUCCCACCAAAGCAACUAAUGCUAGGGAGAAAAAUGAGAGGAAGAACAAAAGAAGAACACGAAGAACUCCAAGAUCUAGAUCCAAGGGUUCCCCUCACUUAGAGGAGAAAGUGAUUGGUUGGAAUGUGGAUCUAGAUCUCCUCUCUCUUUUCCCCCCAAAACUAGCAAGAAUCCAUGGAGGGAUUGAGAGAUAGCAGGCUCGAAGAAGGUCAACAAUGGGGGAAGAACACAAUCUCAAAGGAUAAGGUUCAUUGGGGAAGAAGACCCCCUUUUAUAGGAGGGGGAAAAUCCAACCGUUAUGCUCACAACCCGCAUAGAGCGGUACUACUGCUCCUACGAGCGGUACUACCGCUAGGGCGGCAGACGCCCAAUGAAACAACACUGCAGAGGGACGGUACUACUGCAGGAGUGGUACUACCGCCUGCCCUUGUAGUACUACCACGCGACUACGGAAGAAAAAUAAUAACUACCGCGCCUACAACUGCUGGAGCUAGCUACAAGAAAAAGUCGGCGCAGUACUACCGCUCACAGGGAGCGGUACUACCGCGUAGGGGCGGAUGUAAAAAAUUACAUCCAUGCCUACUACUGCACGAAACAGCGCCAGGGCACGAGGCAACGGUACUACCGAUCACCAGGAGCGGUACUACCGCGUAGGGUGCGGAAGUAAAAAAUUACUUCCGCGCCUACUUCUGUGCGCGCCAGCGUUCUGGGCUAGAGGCAGCGAUACUACCACUGGCCCCUGUGGUACUACUGCUCCCUUGAGCAGUACUACCGCACGCCAUAGAGGCUUUAGCACUUGGAUACCUUCAAAAUGCAGCUAAAGACAACAGAUGGAUCCAAUAAAAACAGAACUGCCAUUACUUCUGCAAAUGAGCUCCGAAUUGAGCAUACUCAAGCUUGUUGGAUACAAGACAACGAGUAGCAUCAAAACAUCAUAGAAGAAGCAUGUGAACUCCGUUUUCGAUGAACUCGAGCUUGUCAUCAAGAUGACCAUAAGCUCCAAAUCUCACAAAGAGAACCAAACAAGAAUCAAGAAAGAUGAUGCAAGGAUGCAAUGGUUUGAGCUCUCUACGAACAAUAUGAUCAAGCUACUCAUCGAGAGCCCCCCUUGAUAGUACAACCAUCAAUCCUAUAAGCCGGUCUCCCAACUACCACCAUGAGACCGGUAAAAUAGAAAGCCUAUCAAGGGCAAACCUUUUCCUUGCACAUGGUCCACUUGAGCUAGAUGAUGAUGAUCUUGACUCCCUCAAGUUGGACCACCUUUCUUGAUUGUGUUGGGUCGAGGAAGACUAGAUGAUUGCUCCCCCAUACUCCACUAUGGGUGAGCCACUCUUUGACACAUCUUCACAAGUCCACUGACACCAAAAUGGACGGCAAACUUCAAGCAUUUGAUCUCUUCGUGAUGCUCCACUCAAACUUGCACACCGCAACCUAACCCCACAAAGAAUUCUCACAAAGACCACGGGUUAGUACACAAAGCAUAAUUGACAGUGCUUACCAUACCAUGGUAUCACUUGAUCCCUCUUGGUACAUCUUCUAUGCUUUGUGUGUUGAUCAACUUGAUUCACUCUUUGACUUAGUCUUGAUCAACCUCUCACAAGACCAAUCUUUAGGUAAUUCCUUGAAUAGCACCUUGGUCGACACAAACUCUCCUUGAAACCAACACAUGUACUCCAAGAAAAGCCUAUGGACAAAACCUUCAAAUAUAACUCAAGGCAACCAUUAGUCCAUAGAGAUUGUCAUCAAUUACCAAAACCAAACAUGGGGGCAUCGCAUGUUCUUUCAACUGCUACUGUUACUUUUACCACCGUUACCGUUACUUCCAUACUACUUUGCUACUAAAUACUUUGCUACAGAUAUUAAGUCUUUCAGGUGUGGUUGAAUUGACAAGUCAACUGCUAAAACUUGAGAAUAUUCUCUGGCUCCCCUUGUGUUGAAUCAAUAAAUUUGGGUUGAAUACUCUAACCUCGAAAUUUUUUGCGAUCCCCUAUACUUGUGGUUUAUCAAGACCUUUUUCUGGCGCCGUUGCCGGGGAGCAUAGCUCUAUUAUCCGAGUCACGUGGGAUUUAUACCUGUUGAUCACUAUGAGGAAUCUAAAAUACAACAAAACCAAGAUAUAUCCUUCAACUACGAGGGGAGGUAAGGAACUGCCAUCUAGCUCUGCACUUGAUUCACCGUCUGCUUUGAGUAAACUUGCGACACCUACACAUACUAUUGAUUCUGAUAUGUCGCAUGUUAUUGAUGAUGCCACUUCUGCUAUGCAUGAUGCUUAUGAUGAUACUACUUCUAUGCUUGAUAAUAAUGUGCCACUAGGUGAAUUUCUCUAUGAACAACUUGCUAGGGUUAGAGAGAAUGAAAUUACUGAAAUUGAUGAUAUUAGUGAAAGUGAUGAUGAAGAUUAUCCCUCUAGAUAUGAAUUGCCUAUUAUACCUGAGGGUUAUGUUGUGGAUGAGGAAACUGCUAGAGACUUUUUUGCUUGCAAUGAUAGAUAUGAUCUUAAAAAACUGUUAGCUAAGCUGAAAGAAAAGUUUUUGAAUGCUAGAAUGAAAUAUGAUCCUGCGUUUGCUACUUCACCUAUCUGUGUUACUGAUAAGGAUUAUGAAUUCUCUGUUGAUCAUGAGUUAAUCACUUUGGUUCAAAUCUGAUCCUUUCUAUGGCUAUGAAUCUGAAACUGUUGUGGCGCAUCUUACUAAAUUGAAUGAUAUAACUACCCUAUUUACUCAUGAGGAAAAAAUUCGCUAUUACUAUAUUCUUAAAUUGUUUCCUUUCUCGUUAAAGGAUGAUGCUAAGAUAUGGUUUAAUUCUAUUGCUCCUGGUUGUGUUCGUAGUCCCCAGGAUAUGAUUUAUUACUUCUCUGCAAAAUAUUUUCCCUCUCAUAAGAAACAAGCUGCCUUAAGGGAAAUAUUUAAUUUUGUGCAAAUUAAAGAAGAGAGUCUCCCACAAACUUGGGGGAUGCUUCUCCGAUUACUUAAUGCUUUGCCUGAUCAUCCUCUCAAGAAAAAUGAAAUACUUGAUAUCUUUUAUAAUGGAAUAACUGAUGCUUCUAGAGACCACCUAGAUAGUUGUGCUGGUUGUGUUUUCAGGGAAAGAACUGUUGAGCAAGCUGAAUUGCCAUUGAAUAAUAUAUCGAGUAAUGAUAAUGAUUGGGCACUUCCUGAACCAACUCCUAAGCCAACUCCGAAGAAAAGGGGUAUUCUAUUUCUCGGUCCUGAAGAUAUGCAAGAGGCAAAGAAAUCUAUGAAAUAAAAAGGUAUUAAAGCUGAAGAUAUUAAUAAUUUACCGCCUAUCGAAGAAAUACAUGGUCUUGAUAACCCGACACAGAUAGUAAAGGUAAAUUUUCUCUAUAGAUUUGAUGGAGGCAAUAUUCCUCAUAAUAAGUCUGCUAGUCAAUGCUUGGAUGAGUUUGAUAUUUUUAUUGUUAAACAAGAAAACUUCAAUGCUUAUGUUGGUAGACAAUUGAAACGUAAUGCUUAUAUGGUUGAACACUUGAGUGAUUAUAUGUCUAGAGUUAAAAGUGAUCUUAAGCUUAUUAGUAAACAUGCUUCCAUGGUUACGUUUCAAGUAGAACAAGUACUUAAGGCCCAAGAUGAUUUGCUCAAUGAGUUGAAUAAUAAGAAAAAUGAUAAUGCUGUUAGAGUUAUGACUAGAGGUGGUAAAAUGACCCAAGAACCUUUGUAUCCUGAGGGCCAUCCUAAGAGAGCUGAGCAAGACUCUCAGAGAAUUAAUACUGAUACACCUGGUCCUUCUAAUAAAAGAAAAAGAAUAAUGAUAGGACAUUGCAUGCUUCUAGUGAACCUGUUAUUGACGCACCUGAGAAUACGAAUGAUAUUUCUAUUUCUGAUGCUAAAACACAAUCUGGUGAUGAACAUAAACCUAGUGAUAAUGUUAAUGAUAAUGUUCAUGUUGAUGCUCAACCUAGUAAUAAUAAUGAUGUAGAGAUUGAACUUGCUGUUGAUCUUGAUAACCCAUAAUCAAAGAAUCAACGUUAUGAUAAGAGAGACUUUGUUGCUAGGAAGCACGCUAAAGAAAGAGAACCAUGAGUUCAGAAACCCAUGCCUUUUCCUCCUAAGCCAUCCAAGAAAAAGGAUGAUGAGGAUUUUGAGCGCUUUGCCGAAAUGAUUAGACCUAUGUUUUUGCGUAUGCGUUUGACUGAUAUGCUUAAAAUGCCUCCUUAUGCUAAGUAUAUGAAAGAUAUUGUUACAAAUAAAAUAAAGAUACCGGAAGCUGAAAUUUCCACCAUGCUUUCUAAUUGUACUUUUAAGGGUGGAAUACCAAAGAAACUAGGAGAUCCAGGAAUACCAACUAUACCAUGCUCCGUUAAAAGAAAUUAUGUUAGAACUGCUUUAUGUGAUCUUGGAGCUGGUGCUAGUGUUAUGCCUUUCUCUUUAUAUCGUAGACUUGAUUUGAAUAAGUUGACAACUACUGAAAUCUCUUUGCAAAUGGUUGAUAAAUCAACUGCUAUACCCAUUGGUAUUUGUGAGGAUGUGCCUGUUGUGGUUGCAAACGUUACUAUGUUAACGGACUUUGUUAUUCUUGAUAUUCCCGAGGACGACAGCAUGUCGAUCAUCCUUGGUAGACCCUUUUUGAAUACUGUAGGGGUUGUUAUUGAUUGCAACAAAAGCAAUGUCACUUUUCAUGUUAAUGGUAAUCAGUAUACGGUACACUUUCUGAAGAAACAACCUCAAGUUCAUAGUAUCAAUUCUAUUGGAAAAAUUACAACUAUUACUAUUGGAGGUUUUGAAUUCCCUCUUCCUACUGUCAAAAAGAAAUAUGAUAUUCUUAUUUUUGGGGACAUGCAUAUCCCCGUUGAGGUAACCUAGUGUUAUUCGAAAAUUCUCUAGUUUCAUGUCAUUCGGAAGAAAUUAGUUAACAAAACUUGAUCAACCUUGUUAGUGGAUUCCUUUUGAUGAGCAUGAGAUGGAUGAAUUUAGAAGGCACAACUUUCUAUACCCUCCUUUUACUUUCUGUUAUUUAGAUUAAAUGAAGCAAAAACAAUAUUUUCUAUCUGUUUUCUGAAUUAUCCAUGCAAUAAAAAAUACCCAAAAAUAAAAGUUCUCCAAUUGCCCUGAAAAUUUUGUAUGAUUUUUUAUAGAAUAUUUGAGAAUUUCUGGCAUUGAGAACACACGAGGGGGAUGCAACAGUGAGCCACGAGGGUGGAGGGAGCGCCCUACCCCUUGGGCAUGCCCCCUGCCUCAUGGGCCCCACGUGCCCCCUCCACUUAUUCCAGCACCCAUUUACUUCGUCUUCCUCCAGAAAAAAUCAUCCUGUAGCUCAAACUCGUGUUCUUGCUCAUUUUGCUGCCAUUUUUGAUCUCCUUGCUCAAAGCUCCAUUCACAAAACUACUUUGGGGGAUUGUUUGGUAUGUGACUCCUCCAAUGGUCCAAUUAGUUUUUGUUCUAGUGCUUUAUUUAUUUCAAAUUUUUGCUCCUGAGGUGACCCUGUUCUUGAGCUUGCAUGUCAAAUUUAUAUGGUGAAAGUAGUUUUGUUGCAUGAUUUAGCUUCUAGACACUUGUGGGAGUAGUUGCUAUCAAUCUUGUUGAGUUUGGAUCACCUUUAUUUUGAGUCACUAUUUCAGAAUUUUUCAGAGGAAGAAAAUGUUGAGGAGAUUGUUGAGAGGCUCCUUGAGCUGGGGUUCGAAGGAAAAGGAGAAUGAAGAGAAUGAAAAGUGCAAGUACAACCUUCCUCGCACCAUGGAGGUCUGCUCGUGUGAAUGGCCUUGUGAUGCAUUCUUAAAGGCCGCUGGAAUUUAUGAAGACUUCUAUUACUUGGCUGAGAAUGCAGGCAUCACCGACUUCAUCCAUGAUAAGUGUCAUCAGUAUCUCCUACUCACUAAUAUUUUCAUGCAAAAUUUUCAUUUUCAUGCUAGGAGAUCACUGAUGUCUACUACGCAACCUUCUUCUUAUAGACGUUGUUGGGCCUCCAAGUGCAGAGGUUUGUAGGACAGUAACAAAUUUCCAUCAAGUGGAUGACCUAAGGUUUAUCAAUCCGUGGGAGGCGUAGGAUGAAGAUGGUCUCUCUCAAACAACCCCGCAACCAAAUAACAAAGAGUCUCUUGUGUCCCCAACACACCCAAUACAAUGGUAAAUUGUAUAGGUGCACUAGUUCAGUGAAGAGAUGGUGAUACAAGUGCAAUAUGGAUGGUAGAUAUAGGUUUUUGUAAUCAGACAGCAAGGUAACUAAUGAUAAAUGUGAGCAAAAACAGUAUUGCAAUGCUUCGAAACAAGGCCUAGGGUUCAUACUUUCACUCGUUCAAGUUCUCUCAACAAUAAUAACAUAAUUGGAUCAUAUAACUAUCCCUCAACAUGCAACAAAGAGUCACUCCAAAUUCACUAAUAGAGGAGAAGAAACGAAGAGAUUAUUGUAGGGUACUAAACCACCUCAAAGUUAUUCUUUCCGAGCAAUCCAUUGGGCUAUUCCUAUAGGUGUCACAAACAGCCCUAGAGUUCAUAGUAAAAUAACACCUUAAGACAGAAAUCAACCAAAACCCUAAUGUCACCUAGAUACUCCAAUGUCACCUCAAGUAUCCGUUGGUAUGAUUAUACGAUAUGCAUCACACAAUCUCAGAUUCAUCUAUUCAAACCAACACAAUGAACUUGAAAGAGUGUCCCAAAGUUUCUACUCGAGAGUCAAGAUGAAAACGUGUGCCAAUCCCUAUGCAUAGACUCCCAAGGUCACGGAACCCGCAAGUUGAUCACCAAAACAUACAUCAAGUGAAUCAAUAGAAUACCCCAUUGUCACCACGGGUAUCCCACACAAGACAUACAUAAAGUGUUCUCAAAUCCUUAAAGACUCAAUCCAAUAAGAUAACUUUAUAGGGAAAACUCAAUCCAUUACAAGAGAGUAGAGGGGGAGAAACAUCAUAAGAUCGAACUAUAAUAGCAAAGCUCGCAGUACAUCAAGAUCAUGCCAAAUCAAGAACACGAGAGAGAGAGAUCAAACACAUAGCUACUGGUACAUACCCUCAGUCCUAAGGGUGAACUACUCCCUCCUCGUCAUGGAGAGCGCCGAGAUGAUGAAGAUGGCCACCGGUGAUGAUUUCCCCCUUCGGCAAGGUACCGGAACAGGCUCCUGAUUGGUUUUUGGUGGCUAUAGAGGCUUGCGACGGCGGAACUCCCGAUCUAGGUUUCUUUUCGGGAGUUUCUGUAUUUAUAGGAAUUUUUAGCGUCAGUCUCACGUCAGGGGGGGUCCCCGAGUCAUCCACAAGGCAAGGGGGCGCGCCCUCCACCCUCCUGGAUGGCUCGGGACUCUUCUGGCCCAACUCUUUACUUCAGGGGAUUCUUUUGGUCCAUAAAAAAUCAUCAAAAAUUGGCAUGUCAAUUGGACUCCAUUUGGUAUUCCUUUUCUGUAAAACUCAAAAACAAGGAAAAAAUAGAAACUGACACUGGGCUCUAGGUUAAUAGGUUAGUCCCAAAAAUCAUAUAAAUAGCAUAUAAAUCAUAUAAAACAUCCAAGAUCGAUAAUAUAAUAGCAUGGAACAAUCAAAAAUUAUAGAUACGUUGGAGACGUAUCAAGCAUCCCCAAGCUUAAUUCCAGCUCGUCCUCGAGUUGAUAAAUGAUAAAAACAGAAUUUUUGAUGUGGAAUGCUACCUAACAUAUUUAUCAAUGUAAUCUUCUUCAUUGUGGCAAGAAUAUUCAGAUCCAUAAGAUUCAAAACAAAAGUUUAAUAUUGACAUAAAAAUAAUAAUUCUUCAAGCAUACUGACAAAGCAAUCAUGUCUUCUCAAAAUAACAUGGCGAAAGAAAGUUAUCCCUACAAAAUCAUAUAGUCUGGCUUUGCUAUAUUUUCAUCACACAAAAAUUUUAAAUCAUGCACAACCCCGAUUACAAGCCAAGCAAUUGUUUUAUACUUUUGAUGUUCUCAAACUUUUUCAAUCUUCACGCAAUACGUGAGCGUGAGCCAUGGAUAUAGCACUAUAGGUGGAAUAGAAUGGUGGUUGUGGAGAAGACAAAAGGGAGAAGAUAGUCUCACAUCAACUAGGCGUACCAACGGGCUAAGGAGAUGCCCAUCAAUAGAUAUCAAUGUGAGUGAGUAGGGUUUGCCAUGCAACGAAUGCACUAGAGCUAUAAGUGUAUGAAAGCUAAAAAAGAAACUAAGUGGGUGUGCAUCCAACUCGCUUGCUCACGAAGACCUAGGGCGUUUGAGGAAGCCCAUCAUUGAAAUAUACAAGCCAAGUUUUAUAAUGAAAAAUUCCCACUAGUAUAUGAAAGUGACAACAUAGGAGACUCUCUAUCAUGAAGAUCAUGGUGCUACUUUGAAGCACAAGUGUGGUAAAAGGAUAGUAACAUUGUCCCUUCUCUCUUUUUCUCUCAUUUAUUUUGUUUUCUCCUUUUUUGUUGGGCCUUCUUUUUUUGGCCUCUUUUUUUUCGUCCGGAGUCUCAUUCCGACUUGUGGGGGAAUCAUAGUCUCCAUCAUCCUUUCCUCACUGGGACAAUGCUCUAAUAAUGAUGAUCAUCACACUUUUAUUUACUUACAACUCAAGAAUUACAACUAGAUACUUAGAACAAAAUAUGACUCUAUAUGAAUUCCUCCGGCGGUGUACCGGGAAGUGCAAUGAUUCAAGAGUGAGAGUGAGAUGUAUGAAAGAAUUAUGAAUGGUGGCUUUGCCACAAAUACAAUGUCAACUACAUGAUCAUGCAAAGCAAUAUGACAAUGAUGAAGCGUGUCAUAAUAAAUGGAAUGGUGGAAAGUUGCAUGGCAAUAUAUCUCGGAAUGGCUAUGGAAAUUCCAUAAUAGGUAGGUAUGAUGGCUGUUUUUAGGAAGGUUAUGGUGGGUGUAUGGUACUGGCAAAAGUUGCGCGGUACUAGAGAGGCUAGCAAUGGUGGAAGGGUGAGAGUGCGUAUAAUCCAUGGACUCAACUUUAGUCAUAAAGAACUCACAUACUUAUUGCAAAACUCUAUUAGUUAUCGAAACGAAGUACUACAUGCAUGCUCCUAGGGGGAUAGAUUUGUAGGAAAAUACCAUCGCUUGUCCCCGACCGCCACUCAUAAGUAAGACAAUCAAUAAAUAAAUCAUGCUCCGAUUUCAUCACAUAACAGUUCACCAUACAUGCAUGCUAAGGGAAUCACAAACUUCGACACAAGUAUUUCUACAAUCCACAAUUACUCACUAGCAUGACUCUAAUAUCACCAUCCUCAUAUCUCAAAACAAUCGUAAGGAAUCAACCUUCUCAUAGUAUUCAAUGCACUUUAUAUGAAAGUUUUUAUUAUAUCCCUCUUGGAUGCCUAUCAUAUUAGGACUAAAUUCAUAACCUAAGCAAAUUACCAUGUUGUUUAAGACUCUAAAAAGAAUAUAAGUGAAGCAUAAGAUUUCAUCAAUUUCUUCAAAAUAAAACUACUACCGUGCUCUAAAAAGAUAUAAGCGAAGCACUAGAUGAAAUGACAAACUACUCUGAAAGAUAUAAGUGAAGAUCAAUGAGUAGUCGAAUAAUUAUGUAACUAUGUGAAGACUCUCUAAGAUUUAAGAAUUUCAGAUCUUGGGAUAUUAUUCAAACAGCAAGCAAAACAAAAUAAAACAAAAUGACGCUCCAAGCAAAACACAUAUCAUGUGGUGAAUAAAAAUAUAGCUCCAAGUAAAGUUACCGAUGAACAAAGAUGAAAGAGGGGAUGCCUUCCGGGGCAUCCCCAAGCUUAGGCUCUUGGUUCUCCUUGAAUAUUAUCUUGGGGUGCCUUGGGCAUCCCCAAGCUUAGGCUUUGCCACUCCUUGUUCCAUAGUCCAUCGAAUCUUUACCCAAAACUUGAAAACUUCACAACACAAAACUCAACAGAAAACUCGUAAGCUCAGUUAGUAUAAGAAAAUAAAUCACCACUUUUGUUACUGUUGUGAACUCAUUAUAGAUUCAUAUUGGUGUUAUAUCUACUGUAUUACAACUUAUCCAUGGUUCAUACCCUCCGAUACUACUCAUAGAUUCAUCAAAAUAAGCAAACAACACAUAGAAAACAGAAUCUGUCAAAAACAGAAUAGUCUGUAGUAAUCUGUAAUUCUCGAAUACUUAUGUAACUUUUAAAAUCCUAAAAAAUUAGUAAAACCUGAUAAAUUUGUGUACCAAUCCAUAGAAAAAAUAAUCUGACCAAAAGCACGUUUCUGCGAAUUAUAAAAACUAAUUUACUGGGUGCAAAAGUUUCUGAUUUUCAGCAGGAUCAACACAACCAUCACCCAAGUCUUCCCAAAGGCUCUACUUGGCACUUUAUUGAAACAAAAGCUAUAAAACAUGAUUACUACAGUAGCUUAAUCAUGUGGACACACAAAAACAGUAGGGGUAAAUGUUGGGUUGUCUCCCAACAAGCGCUUUUCUUUAAUGCCUUUUUAGCUAGGCAUGAUGAUGACAAUGAUGCUCACAUAAAAAGAUAAGAAUUGAAACAUAAUGGGAGCAUCAUGAAGCAUAUGACUAACACAUUUAAGUCUAACCCACUUCCUAUGCAUAGGGAUUUUGUGAGCAAACAACCUAUGGGAACAAGAAUCAACUAGCAUAGGAAAGCAAAACAAGCAUAGCUUCAUGAUUUUGAGCACAACGAGAGGAAACUUAAUAUUAUUGCAAUUCCUACAAGCAUAUAUUCCUCCCUCAUAAUAAUUUUCAGUAGCAUCAUGAAUGAAUUCAACAAUAUAACCAUCACAUAAAGCAUUAUUUUCAUGAUCCCCAAGCACAUACAUUUUAUUACUCUCCACAUAAGCGAAAUUCUUCUCAUUCGGAAUAGUGGGAGAAUCAUAAGAAACUCGAAUACUAUAAAUUGUUUCCACAUUAAAAGAGUAAUGUUUAGACAAAGGGUAAUCAUAAUCAUGACAAGUUUUAUAAAUAUAAUCAUCACUACUUUUUAUAGCAUAAGUAUCAUCACGAUAAUCAUCAUAAGUAGCAACCUUGUUCUCAUCAUAAUCGAUUGAAACCUCUUCCGAAAUAGUGGAUUCAUCACUAAAUAAAGUCAUGACCUCUCCAAAUCCACUUUCAUAAUUAUCACAAUAAGAUUCAACACCCUCCAAAAUAGUGGGAUCAUUACUUCCUAAAUUUGACAUUCUUCCAAACCCACUUUCAUCAAUAUAAUCAUCAUAAAUAGGAGGCAUGCUAUCGUCAUUUUUUUUGCAUAUCAAAGCUUGGGAGACUAAAAAUAUCAUCUUCAUAGCAUACCAAAGCUUGGGACAAACAUUAAUUGCAGCAAAUAAAUUCUCAAAUAUGUCAUUCUCAUCAAACAUAGCAUCCCCAAGCUUGGGCCUUUGCACAUCAUAAGCAUGAUCACUCUCAUCAUUAAUAGUAUGGAUAGCACCAAUAGUAUAACAAUUAUCAUCAUCACAAUGAGUAAUAGGAGCAACAUCAUUUGGGAGGGAUACCUUUUUACCUUUGCUUCUCUGUCUUCUAUUUUUCUUCUUCAAAUUAUGUGUGGGUUUAAUCCUCUUUUUGGAGCUCCUUAUUAAUGAGAUUGGUUGAAUAGAAAGCUCCUCCUCGUUACCUGAUUCAUCAUAAGAAAGAAUAGGAGGAUAUUGGGAAAUCUCUUCCCUUUCAUUAGUAUUAUCUUCAUAUUAUAUUUGUUUUCUUGUCUUUAUGUAAUUGGCAAUAUAAGGAUUUUCAAUGCAAUUCACCGCACAAUACAUAUAAAUUUCCUCUAGAUCAAUAUCAAGAAAUUUCUCAAGGUUAUAUUAUGGAAUAUCCAUAGUUAUACGUUUCAUUUCUUCAUAACCCAAAAGCAAACUAAGUUCAUUAUGAUGUGCAAGGGAAAUCAAGUCAUCACAAUUUCUGGACACGAUUUGUUCAUGAAACAAUUCGCAUUGGAGAUUUAAAUGAUCACGUUCAUUGCAAAGUUCACAAGAGUGGAAAAGAAAUUUUAAAUUUUCAACACAAACAUCUAGCCUCUCUUGCAACCACUUAGUUUCUAAAUACUUAUGCCUCUUGCAAAAUCUAUCUUCCGUAUUUGGUGUGUACUUGCAAACUCUAUGCACUCCACAAAAGUUGACAUGCUUAUAAGAUACAUUUCUAUCAUGACUAGUGAAAUCAUCAUUAGUACUAUGUAUAUUCAAUGAGUUCAUACUAACAACAUUACAAUCAUGCUCAACAUUCAAAGAUCUAGUGCCAAACAUUUUAUUGCAUUCUUCUUCUAACACUUUGGCACAAUUAUCAGAAUCCUUAUUUUCACGGAAGACAUUCAAAAGAUGAAGCAUAUGAGGCACCCUCAAUUCCAUUUUUUUGUAGUUUUCUUUUAUAUAAUAAACUAGUGAUAAAAUAAGAAACUAAAAGAUUCGAUUACAAGAUCUAAAGAUAUACCUUAAAGCACUAACCUCCCCGGCAACGGUGCCAGAAAAGAGCUUAGUUGACGGGGUGUUAGUGUCGCUUACCUAGCCUCCCCUGCAACGGCGCCAGAAAAGAGCUUAAUGUCUACUACACAACCUUCAUCUUGUAGACGUUGUUGGGCCUCCAAGUGCAGAGGUUUGUAGGACAGUAGCAAAUUUCCCUCAAGUGGAUGACCUAAGGUUUAUCAAUCCGUGGGAGGCGUAGGAUGAAGAUGGUCUCUCUCAAACAACCCUGCAACCAAAUAACAAAGAGUCUCUUGUGUCCUCAACACACCCAAUACAAUGGUAAGUUGUAUAUGUGCACUAGUUCGGCGAAGAGAUGGUGAUACAAGUGCAAUAUGGGUGGUAGAUAUAGGUUUUUUGUAAUCUGAAAUUAUAAAACAGCAAGGUAAUUAAUGAUAAAAGUGAACGAAAACGGUAUUGCAAUGCUUCAAAACAAGGCCUAGGGUUCAUACUUUCACUAGUGCAAGUUCUUUCAACAAUAAAAACAUAAUUGGAUCAUAUAACUAUACCUCAACAUGCAACAAAGAGUCACUCCAAAGUCACUAAUAGCGGAGAACAAAGGAAGAGAUUAUUGUAGGGUACGAAACCACCUCAAAGUUAUUCUUUCCGAUCAAUCCAUUAGCCUAUUCCUAUAGGUGUCAGAAACAGCCCUAGAGUUCGUAGUAAAAUAAGACCUUAAGACACAAAUCAACCAAAACCCUAAUGUCACCUAGAUACUCCAAUGUCACCUCAAGUAUCCGCGGGUAUGAUUAUACGAUAUGCAUCACACAAUCUCAGAUUCAUCUAUUCAAACCAACACAAAGAACUUCAAAGAGUGCCCCAAAGUUUCUACCGGAGAGUCAAGACGAAAACAUGUGCCAACCCCUAUGCAUAGAUUACCAAGGUUACGGAACCUGCAAGUUGAUCACCAAAACAUACAUCAAGUGAAUCAAUAGAAUACCUCAUUUUCACCACACGUAUCCCACGCAAGACAUACAUAAAGUAUUCUCAAAUCCUUAAAGACUCAAUCCGAUAAGAUAACUUCAAAGGGAAAACUCAAUCCAUUACAAGAGAGUAGAGGGGGAGAAACAUCAUAAGAUCCAACUAUAAUAGCAAAGAUCGCGGUACAUCAAGAUCGUGCCAAAUCAAGAACACGAGAGAUAGAGAGAGAUCAAACACGUAGCUACUGGUACAUACCCUCAGCCCCGAGGGUGAACUACUCCCUCCUCAUCAUGGAGAGCGUCGGGAUGUUGAAGAUGGCCACCGGUGAUGACUUACCCCUCCAGCAGGGUGUCUGAACAGGGUCCCAAUUGGCUUUUUGUGGCUACAGAGGCUUGCGGUGGCGGAAUUCCCGAUCUAGGCUUCUUUUCGGGGGUUUCAGUAUUUAUAGGAAUUUUUGGCAUCGAUCUGACGUCAGGGGGGGUCUCUGAGUCAUCCACGAGGCAGGGGGCGCCUCCAGGGGGGUAGGGCACACCCUCCACCCUCGUGGAUGGCUCGGGACUCUUCUAGGCCAACUCUUUUACUUCAGGGGCUUCUUUUGGUCCAUAAAAAAUCAUCAAAAAUUGGCACGUCAAUUGGACUCCGUUUGGUAUUCCUUUUCUGUAGUACUCAAAAACAAGGAAAAACACAAACUGGCGGGCUCUAGGUUAAUAGGUUAGUCCCAAAAAUCAUAUAAAAUAGCAUAUAAAUGCAUAUAAAACAUCCAAGAUUGAUAAUAUAAUAGCAUGGAACAAUAAAAAAUUAUAGAUACAUUGGAGACGUAUCAAUCACCACCUUCGGUAGAAUUUUAUUUAUAUGAUGAGUUUAAGGAGAUGUCACUCUAUGAUUUUUGUGAGGUUUGCAAAUUGCCUUUUGAGGGCAGCAUCAAGGAACCACAUCCUAGUGAUGUGGGAGAUUUUAUAGAUAAAAUUACUGUAGGGGAAAGGAGAAGAGUGUCGGAUGCAAGAACUACUAGUAUACAUUUUCCCGUUCUACUUUACUAUGCAAUAUUUGCUAGUAGAUGUUUAAUUGGUCGCGGGAACAGUUGGGGCCUCAGUGCUCCCGACCUUGCCAUUUUGCGCCAUGCUUUACUUCGUGAUAAAACUUUCAGUUUAGGCGCUAUGGUUGCUAAAUGGUUGAGUCUAAACCGUACGAAGGGCCCCAUUUUUAGAGGUAUGUAUGCUUCUCGUCUUGCUAAAUAUUUUGAGAUACCUAUUAGACACUAUGAGAAAGAAGAAAAGGUGUUGCCCACUGUUUACUUAGAUUAUAAAAGUAUGGUAGCACAUGAUUUUCUUUGUUUUGACAAGGAAAAUAGACUCAUUUAUAACCUGGUAUUUAGUGAAGAUACUUGUCAAUUAUUACCUUGCCUGCACCUUCUUUGUUUAAUAUUCAUUCAGCCACAUACCUUAUCAUGCCCGCGGACAUUCAUGCAUACUGCGAGCGGACGCGAUCCCCAGAUCCUGAGCCAAUGCCAUCACCUGAUCCAUAUCAGGAGUCUAUUUAUCAGUGGGAUCCGUAGGAGCUCGCUAACCAGUGGAAUCCCGAGGAUUCUCCUCAGUACACCGAAGAGCACUACUUUGAUCCAUGGGUGUAGACCAACUUAGGCCAAAAGCCUAAGCUUGGGGGAGUACGCAUUUCUCACCGACAUUACAUUCAUGUUCACACACUCAUUCUACUUCUCGGUGUUCAUACUUUUUCAUUGUAUUAUCCAUGCUAGUUUAUUUUCUUUUCCUGCUUUCUUCGUGUGUGUUUGAAAAACUUUGAGAAAAACCAAAAAAAUUAGUUGUAGCCUUUAGCUAGUUUACUUUCCAUGCUUGUAGUGGUAGUAAUUAAAUAAGAAAUCCAAAAAUAUUUCUCGUUCUUCUUUUGCUUGUUGGGAGCUUUCCCAUGUAAAUAGUUUUCCUAGUUCUUUGAAAUUCUUUUCUUUUCUUUGGGGGUCGAGAGGAGAAUACCACGAUGAAAUGAUGAGUGGCUCUCGUAUGCAUUAUUAUUGAUAAAACAAAGAGCCCAUAUUACCUUGUCUUCUCCUUUGAAUUAAAUGUUUGUAAAUUCCAGCUUAGUCCAAUGCAUGUGCACUAUCAUUAUUAUCGACACCGUUCAGUCGUGCAAGUGAAAGGCAAUAAUGAUGAUAUAUGAUGAAAUGAUUGAGAUGAGUAAAAGCUGGUAUGAACUCGACCUAUCUUGUUUUUGUAAAUAUGAUUAGUUCAUCGUUCUUGAUUCAGCCUAUUAUGAAUGAAACAUGUUUGCAAUGACAAUUAGAGAUCAUAGUUACUCAUGUGAUGCUUAAUUAGCUAAGAGUUUAUAAUGGUUUACCUUGCGUGCCAACAUGCUAUUAAAAUGGUUGUGAUGUAGUAUGAUAGGAUGGUAUCCUCCUUUGAAUGAUUCGAGUGGCUUGACUUGGCACAUGUUCAUGCAUGUAGUUGAAAAAAAUCAACAUAGCCUCCACGAUAUCUAUGUUCAUGGUGAUUUAUAUCCUACUUAUGCUUGCACUCAUUGUUGGUUAAUCUUAAUGCAUGAUUAUGACUGUGUUUCUCUCUAGUUGGUCGCUUUGCAGUCUCUUGCUAGCCUUCACUUGUACUAAGCGGGAAUACUGCUUGUACAUCCACUUCCAUAAAGCCCAAAGUUGUUCCAUAUGAGUCCACCAUACCUACCUAUAUGCGUUAUUUACCUGCCGUUCCAAGUAAAUUUGCAUGUGCCAAACUCUAAACCUUCAAAUGAAAUUCUGUUUUGUAUGCUCGAAUCGCUCAUGUAUCAACUAGGGUUGUCUAUAUCUUCCAUGCUAGGUGGGUUAUUCUCACGAUGAGUGGACUCCGCUCAUCAUUCACGAGAAAAUGGCCGGUAACCGGGAUGCCCAGUCCCAUGCUAAAAUCAAAUCAAAAUAAUUGCAAACAAAACUCCCCUGGGAUUGUUGUUAGUUGGACGGUAAUUGUUGUUUCGGACCAGCCGUGUAUGUGCUUGUUGGUGGUGGGGGAGUAUAAAGUUUACCAUUCUAUUUGAGAACCGCCUAUAAUGUAUAUAGCAUGGAAGAUAUAGAGAUCUCUUGGUUGUUAUGUUCACAAUGAAAGUAUGCCGCUUAUGUCAGGACCCCGACUCGAUGUCACAUCGAUCUAGCCGGUAACACCUCAUAUCACUUUGCGGCCUCACGCACGGUAUUCCCACGGGUGUCGCCUUACCUUUGCCCGGGACCGUUUGCGCCUUUUGGCUCACGUAUAUGAUAGUGUCGCUAGCAUCCAUAUGAUAAGGAGCCCGGGCUGACAUGACUAGUCGUAAACCCAAAGUGGCACAGACUUACAGGGACAGGCAUCCAUGACCCAGCUUCGAACGUGUCGGUCAACAGCAAGUGGGUCCGGGCUGUAGCACUGGGCUAGCAGGACUCCGGUAAACCGGGCUGUAGCGGGCUAACAGGACUCCGGUACUCAAUGCGUGACAUUUCCCCGAAGGGACAGACACAGGAACGAAGAAGGACACAUGCCGGCCAGCCUAAGUGUUCCAGAGCAGUAGCAAGCUACCAUGGCUCAGCGGUAACACUAGGAGACAUUUCCCGGUAAGAGAGGCUACUAAAGAUAAACAACUAGAUAGUCAGAUCCCACACAUACCAAGCAUUUCAAUCAUACACACACUAUGCUCGAUAUGGGCAAAUACAACGAAGCAUCACAACAUGACUCUAUGACACAAGUACUUUAUUUAAGGCUCAGGGAGCCAUACAUAACAUACACAAAGGUACGGGUCUCACGACCCAACAUACAAGUCAUACAGUCAUACAAACCAGCAGCGGAAGUAACUUGUCUGAGUACAGACAACUAGUAAAAUAAAAGAGGCUUGGAAAGCCUAGCUAUACUACGUGGUCCAUCACAAGCUCAGGGUCACCACCUGGGUCUUUAGCCUACUCGUUGAUGUCAAUGUCUACAUAGAACCCAUCAGAAGGGGUUGCAGCGUCUUCUGUAAAAAUGUAGAUUAUAGCAACAUGAGUACAAAGGUACUCAGCAAGACUUACAUCAGAUCCUACAUACAUGCAUAGUAUCAAGAAGGGUUGGUGGAGUUAUUGCAGCAAGCCAGCUUUGACUCUUGGCUAGACUAUCCUACGAUACUCCAACUUGAAAUGGUUUUGCGCACACGAGUCCACUACUCACCACUUCAAUACACUACCGAGGAUCCGCCUCCGUCUUCCUACGGAAGAGCCAUACUCAGCACUCACACUUAUCUUGAGAAUUUUAGUAGUUUCCAUUUACUUGUCUAUGAACUGUAUAGGCAACCAAGUAGUCCUUUACCGCGGACGCGGCUAUUCGAAUAGAUCAUGAUAACCCUGCAGGGGUGUACUCCUUCAUACAUGUUUCCACCACUUAGCGUCUGCACACGACAUGUGCUCGGCAGACUUCAAGCGAAAGCCGACGUGGGUGUAGACCACGACCUACCUAAACACUUAAGCCUCUAGUCCAGGUUUAUCGCCUAUUCAGGUUCCAUCCGCAGGGAGUCCGGCCGAGGUUUCCCAUACGGCCCCGAACGAUGUGAACAGGGUUCCCGAGAUACCUAACGGGUAUUCGGUACACCGUGCCACGUACCUACCGCAUCACAGCCCACCCCUAUGGUCAGCGCUGUCCACGGCCUCCAGUAGGCUACAAACACCAGAAACUACUUGCAACUCCUGGACAGAGAGCUAGGGUGAAUAAGAAGUCGAGCGGGGUCAUAUUUCAGGGCCCAAUGCAUGGUAGUAGCUGUAUCUUAAAUCACACAUACAGAUCUCAGUGCUUAAGGUCGGCUUCAAUGAAACAACCCACCAUGUACUCCUACAUGGCCCCUCAUCGAUACCUUUACCAAAUCGUGUUCACCACACCACUCUCAUUACCGACAUAAUCAUUUCACUCUAGCCAUCACCCAGAUGAACCAGACCUGACACGACUCUAAGCAUAGCAGGCAUAGCAAGGUAGGAACAACACACACAUAUGGCUCAAUCAACUCCUACACAUGCUAGUGGGUUUCAUCUAGUUACUGUGGCAAUGACAGGUCAUGCAGAGGAAAUGGGUUCAACUACCGUAGCACACAGUAGUUUGAAACGCGUUGUCUUAAUGCAGUAAAAGAGAGCAGGAGCGAGAACAUGGGAUUGUAUCGAUAUGAUCAAAUGGUUGGUUGCUUGCCUGAUGGUUCGAUGCACUGAUACGGUUCUUCGUUAGGGUAAUCACGGUACUCCUCGGAGGCAGAACCUAUCGCAAAGGACACCGAUACACAACCAUCACCAAACAAUGUGCAACAAUAUGAUGCAUGCAUGAAACGUAGCAAUAUGAGUGUGUUGGGCUAAUGCAACUAAAACCAGAAGGGUUUGAACAAAUUUGAAUCAAAGAUUCAAAUUUCAAACUCAAGCAUGGCCUUUUAAAGUGCUUUUCCUUGUUCUGCUUAAAACAUCAAUUUCACUUGUUUGAUCAUGCAUGAAAAUAGUACAGAUGGAUAGAUUGGAUUUUUCUGAUCAUUUUUCAUAUAUAAUUUGUCCAAUUUGGAGUUACAGAAUAAAAGUUAUGAAUUUUUGAAGUUUAAAUAAUAUUCUAGAAUUUCCUGAUUUAAUUUAAAUCCAGAAAUUAUAAUUAUUGCGCCAGCAUGACAUCAGCAUGACGUCAGUGGUCAACUCCGGCUGGCUGGGGUCAAACCUGACGUGUGGGGGCCACACGUCAGUGACAGGGGGGGGGGUUUAACAGGUUUAAAUUAAUCCUAAUUAGGGAUUAGUGGCGCUGGGGCCCACUGUCAGUGUCAGGGGGGGGGGUUGACUAACGGUAAUUAGCACUAACUGCCCACCUGGCCGAUGGGGCCCACGCGUCAGCGACCCUGGGGGGGUCAAACCCCAGGUCAGACAAGUCAAACCCGCCGGCGGUUAGUCGCCGGCGAGGUCCGCGGCGUACAGGGGCCUCGGGUUUCCUCUGUGGUGCUCCAAACGGCGUGCGGCUAGGUGCGUUGGAUAGCUAGCUCGACGGCGCGUCAGACGGUGGCCGUGGCUGGGCCUGGGGUGGCCGGAGUCGACGGCGGCGAGCUCGGCUGCGGCCGCCGGAGUUCGGGUGCGGUCGGAAUCGGCGUUGCAGGGUGUUUGGGGAGGCGUUGGUGCGUGCUGCGUGUUCCUAGUGAGGUGUGGAGCACGAUAGUGUGCUCGGUUGGGUGCUACGGUGACCGUGGCCACGACGGCGACUUCGCCGGCGGCGUGGAGUUCUCGGCCAAGACGGGGCUACGGCCUAGAGGUCGAAAGAGACCAGGGAAGAAGGGGGAAACGACUCGGGGGCUCACCGCGGUUGCAGUGGGCGUCAAAGCGGGCUCAGAGACGCGCUGGAGACGGCGAAUUCGACGGCGAUGAUGGUCGGAGCCCGAAGAGGGGAACGGCGACGUGGCGGCGAUGCAGGGCUUCCGGAGGCCCGUGGAGCGGUGGGGAGGAAGAGGGGGUUGUGGCGGAGCUUCNNNNNNNNNNNNNNNNNNNNNNNNNNNNNNNNNNNNNNNNNNNNNNNNNNNNNNNNNNNNNNNNNNNNNNNNNNNNNNNNNNNNNNNNNNNNNNNNNNNNNNNNNNNNNNNNNNNNNNNNNNNNNNNNNNNNNNNNNNNNNNNNNNNNNNNNNNNNNNNNNNNNNNNNNNNNNNNNNNNNNNNNNNNNNNNNNNNNNNNNNNNNNNNNNNNNNNNNNNNNNNNNNNNNNNNNNNNNNNNNNNNNNNNNNNNNNNNNNNNNNNNNNNNNNNNNNNNNNNNNNNNNNNNNNNNNNNNNNNNNNNNNNNNNNNNNNNNNNNNNNNNNNNNNNNNNNNNNNNNNNNNNNNNNNNNNNNNNNNNNNNNNNNNNNNNNNNNNNNNNNNNNNNNNNAGGGAGAGUGAGAGAGAGCAGGGGGGGAGGCGUGGCGUCGUCCGGGGCAUCGAGCGAGGAGGGGAGGGCAGGCAAGCAGGGAGAGAGGUGGCGUGGCGCGGUGGCGCGCGCGCGCGCCGGCCACACUCCCCUCCCUCUGUCGGGACGAAGACGACAGAGGAGGGAGACGGCUGGGCCGCCUGCUGGCUGGGCCGGCCAGCUGGCUGGGCUGCACAGGGAGGAGCCCAGGUAAGCUUCUCCCUUUUAUUUUUUUCUGUUUUCUAAUUUCUGACAUUUGUUUUGAUUUAAAAAAAAUAUCAAAUCAUUUAUUUAACUUAUGCCAAUUUUUGCAGGGGCUAGAUAUAUUAUUCCAGAGCUCCUUUAUAAAUGGCAUAAUAUUUGGACAUAUAUUAAUAUAUAUAAUUAAUAUAUUUCCAAAGCAAAUAUUUAUGCAUUAAUUCCAAAUGCCCAAAAUAAAUACCUAUGAGCUAUUAAAAAUAUUGGUUUGAUUUUUAUCUCUGUCCAAUAUUUUCAGAGAGCAACAUGAGCAUUUUCUUGGACCCUUUUGGAGAAAUUUUUAUUUGGUCAUUUUCAAAAAGAUUCUGAGGGUUUCACAGAUCCCCAUUUCAAGUUUCUGAUGAAAGAGUAAACAUGAUGCAACACUCUAAUGCAUGACUAGCUAGGGUGUGACAACUCACCCCCACUCAAAAGAAUCUCGUCCCGAGAUUUGGGUUCCUCCGGGAAGAAAGCGGGGUACUCGAGUCGAAGACGAUCCUCCCUUUCCCAAGUUGCUUCAUCCUCAGAAUGGUGCGACCAUUGUACUUUGAGGAACUUGAUGUUCUGACGUCGAGUGGUACGCUCGGUCUGAUCGAGGAUACGAAUGGGGUACUCUCGAUAUGUAAGAUUAUCUUGGAGAUCAAGCGUUUCGUGGUCCACUUCACGGAUAGGAUCCGAGAAGCAACGCCUGAGUUGAGAAACGUGGAAAACAUCGUGGACUCUGGAGAGGUGCGGAGGUAGUUCCAACUGGUAGGCAACUUCUCCUCGUUUGGCGAGAAUGCGAAAAGGUCCAAUGUAACGAGGAGCCAAUUUGCCUUUGAUUCCGAAACGAUGGGUUCCCUUCAGAGGGGUGACCCGAAGAUAAGCCUUCUCGUCAACCUCGAAAGUCAUAGCCUUAUGUUUUCGGUCAUAUUGACUCUUUUGACGAGAUUGGGCUGUUUUCAACUUUUCACGAACGAUACGAACUUGUUCUUCUGCUUCCGGAAUCAUAUCCGGGCCAAAGAAUUGUCUUUCCCCGGUCUCUGACCAGUUAAGGGGUGUUCGACACCGUCGUCCAUAGAGAACUUCAAAAGGGGCUUUACCCAAGCUAGAUUGAUAGCUGUUGUUGUAAGCGAAUUCAGCAAAUGGAAGGCACUUCUCCCAGUCCAUUCCGAAUGAGAUAACAGAGGCUCGAAGCAUGUCUUCUAGAAUUUGGUUGACGCGUUCCACUUGACCACUUGACUGGGGGUGGAAGGCGGUGCUAAAGGAGAGACGGGUUCCCAUAGCAUUCUGGAAACUUUCCCAAAAUCGAGAGGUGAAAAGACUUCCUCGAUCCGAGUUAAUUUCCAAAGGAACACCAUGAAGAGACACUAUACGGGAGAUGUAUAAGUCUGCCAGCUGACUAGCGGUUAUACUCUCACGAACAGGUAAGAAAUGGGCUACUUUGGAAAGACGAUCGACCAUGACGAAAAUAGCAUUAUUCCCUCUCUUGGUCCUGGGAAAACCGGUAAUGAAAUCCAUACCAAUUUUAUCCCAUUUCCAUUCAGGAAUAGCUAAGGGUUGAAGGGUGCCAGCAGGCCGUUGAUGCUCUGCUUUUACACGACGACAGACGUCGCAAUUAGCAAUAAACUGAGCAAUUUCUCUCUUCAUCCUAGUCCACCAGAACCUCUGGCGUAGGUCCUGAUACAUCUUAGUACUACCGGGAUGAAUGGUGAGAGGAGAUUCAUGAGCCUCCUUAAGGAUCAACUGCCGUAGAUGCUGGUUCUUGGGAACCACUAGACGGUUCUCAAAGUACACCACACCAUGAUCAUUUGUGGAGAAACAACUAGCACCUCCGCUAGCAAUGUUCUCUUUGAUUUUAGAUAUUCCCUUAUCUCGCUUUUGGGCAGCAAUGAUUUGAUCCGAAAGAGUAGGUUUUGCUACCAAGGUGGAAAGAAAACCUUGAGGUACAAUGUGAAGGUUUAGCUUCCGAAAUUCCUCAUGGAGAAGCGGUUGACUUUGUUGUAACAUCAGGUUGUUACAAUAAGAUUUACGGCUUAGUGCAUCAGCCAUGACGUUGGCUUUCCCUGGGGUGUAGGUUAUUCCUAAGUCGAAGUCUGUGAUCAACUCCACCCAACGUCUUUGCCUGAGAUUCAGAUCCGGUUGGGUGAAGAUGUACUUCAGACUUUGGUGAUCAGUGAAUAUUUCGCAACGAUUACCGAGGAGGUAAUGUCGCCAGGUCUUAAGUGCAUAGACUGCGGCUGCAAGCUCUAGAUCAUGAGUAGGAUAAUUCUCCUCAUGUGGGUGCAAUUGCCGUGAAGCGUAGGCAAUUACGUGUCGAUCUUGCAUGAGAAUGCAACCUAGUCCUUGUCGCGAGGCGUCGCAGUAGAUAACAAAGUCCUUGGAGAAGUCUGGCGGUACCAGUACGGGAGCAGAAGUCAGGUGUCUUUUCAGUUCCUGAAAGCUGUGCUCACAUUGUGGAGUCCAUUCGAACUUCUUAUCUUUCUUGAGGAGUUCGGUUAGAGGUUUGGCAACUUUGGAGAAGUUCUCGACAAAGCGACGACAAUAGCUCGCUAAGCCUAGAAAACUCCGAACUUGCUUGACCGAUUCAGGUGGAGUCCAAUUAAGGAUGGCUUGAACUCGCUCAGGGUUAACAGCUAUACCUUUACCAGAUAUUACAUGACCCAGAUAGGUCACUUCUGACAACCAGAAUUCACAUUUAGAAAAUUUGGCAUAAAGGCGAUGCUCUCGAAGUUUCUUCAACACUAGCCUUAAAUGUUCGGCAUGUUCUUCCUCGUUCUUGGAGUAGAUGAGUAUAUCAUCGAGAUAAACUACGACGAAUUUAUCCAAAUACUCCAUGAAGAUUGAGUUCAUUAACCGAGAAAAGGUGGCUGGAGCGUUGGUUAAACCGAAGGACAUGACGGUGUACUCGUAUUGGCCAUAACGGGUAACAAAGGCCGUUUUAGGGAUGUCCCCAUUUCUGAUUUUGAUUUGAUGGUAGCCCAACCUCAAAUCCAUCUUGGAGAAGACUGAGGAUCCAGCGAGCUGAUCGUACAGGUCGUUGAUCCUGGGAAGUGGAUAUUUGUUCUUGAUUGUGACCAAAUUGACAGGUCGAUAAUCUACAACCAUCCGCUCCGUACCAUCCUUCUUCUUGACGAAGAGGACGGGGCAAGCCCACGGAGAUGAGCUAGGUCGGAUGAAACCCUUUUUCAAGGACUCAUCGAGUUGUUUCUUAAGCUCGGCUAGUUCUAGGGGUGCCAUCUUAUAGGGUCUUCUAGCAAUCGGAACGGUUCCUGGAAUGAGGUCUAUUACGAACUCAACAUCCCUGUCAGGUGGAACACCUGGCAAUUCUUCUGGGAAGACAUCCGGGAAGUCACGGACUACCGGAAUGUCCUCAAGGUCUGGCAAAGCAGAUCUCACAGGAUAGAGAUCGCGCAUAUCCGAAUAUCCAGCUUGCACCGCCGGUGCGAACCGAGUCAAAGUGGCCCAGUGGUCAGCACGGGUAUUGAAGAGCUCUAACCUCAAGGCCCGAUUUUCACGGUCCUUAUCCUCGAGCAUCUCAGCAGUGGUGCGAGUCCGUGAAUCCUCCUGGGUGGGGUCAGCAUAGAUAGCCUAGAGAUACCCUUGUGCUCCCGGAAGUGAUCCUGGCAUAUACCGGAAAUCAGAGCCCGAAAUAGACCAGAUCUGACUCGCAUAAUGGUCAUCAUAGAGUAGGCGGCGUCCUGCACAGCCAUCUCGAUAGUAACCCCGAGUCCAUAGGAGCAGUGAAGAGGCUCGGUGGAUCCAGGAUAAGAUGGAAAUAUCCUGACAGUGCAGAGAUACUGGCUUUGAUUAAAGUCUCGGAAUUGCUCUUCGACCGUGUACUCAGGAUACCAACGGUAUCCAGCCUCAGUCAUUACCCUGACCAACUUGGCAGCAUGGCCGGGUACAUCUAGGCAUCGAGUCAGGCGAACCACUUGAUUGAGGUCGCGAGUGGCCAUCUGAAAGCACAAUCAUAAUGCAAGGGCAUUAGAAUUUCUAGCAAAAUUUCGGCAGCAUAACAGCUGUAAAUGCUCAAGAAGGAUUUUGAGACAUUUGACAAAGGAUUACAUACACACUCAACAUCAUCAUAUCAAGUUUUGAAUCCAUUCUAACAACAUAAUGUGGUAGUAGAACUGAACUAGGCUUGUAUCCAUCAAACUUAUAAGGUACUACUGAUUAGUAACACGUGAUCCUGAUAGAGAGUAUAGAUCCUAAUUCCUUAACCCCCGGUGGAAGAAUGGACUGACUCAGAUCAGAAUGUCAUAAGAUAAAGGAGUAAAAAGAGCCUUACGUUCCAACCCACAAACAAUUCCCCUACAUAUAACUAAAGAAUUUCUAGACUCAACAUCGACCAGUUUGGCUUGGAGAACCUACAGGCAGUCCGGCUCUGAUGCCAACGCUGUCAGGACCCCGACUCGAUGUCACAUCGAUCUAGCCGGUAACACCUCAUAUCACUUUGCGGCCUCACGCACGGUAUUCCCACGGGUGUCGCCUUACCUUUGCCCGAGACUGUUUGCGCCUUUUGGCUCACGUAUAUGAUAGUGUCGCUAGCAUCCAUAUGAUAAGGAGCCCGGGCUGACAUGACUAGUCGUAAACCCAAAGUGGCACAGACUUACAGGGACAGGCAUCCAUGACCCAGCUUCGAACGUGUCGGUCAACAGCAAGUGGGUCCGGGCUGUAGCACUGGGCUAGCAGGACUCCGGUAAACCGGGCUGUAGCGGGCUAACAGGACUCCGGUACUCAAUGCGUGACAUUUCCCCGAAGGGACAGACACAGGAACGAAGAAGGACACAUGCCGGCCAGCCUAAGUGUUCCAGAGCAGUAGCAAGCUACCAUGUCUCAGCGGUAACACUAGGAGACAUUUCCCGGUAAGAGAGGCUACUAAAGAUAAACAACUAGAUAGUCAGAUCCCACACAUACCAAGCAUUUCAAUCAUACACACACUAUGCUCGAUAUGGGCAAAUACAACGAAGCAUCACAACAUGACUCUACGACACAAGUACUUUAUUUA